UCCUCUUUUCAUGCAGCUUUCUAAUUUUUAAUUUCUCAUACAGCUAUACCGUUUAUAGUUUAAUGUUUUGUUAUGUUUACCAAACGAAAACUUGACUUUGAACGUUAGUUAGUUCAAUCAAAUUUGUACUAAUUUAUUUUCUUCUAAUACAUAAUUAGUUUGUCAGUACGAAACACAAAAAUAAUAUUUCGGAAACCGCAUUGUUCUAGGGGUCAGAUCUGUUUCUAAAUUCAAACAGUUCAGGAUUUUUCAAAAUGGAACUUAUAAUGAGAUUUUUUUUUUUUAAUUAUCUAGUUAUCUUCAUAUGGAAUUUCAAUCUUUGUUAAUACUUUAACUUGCGCCGAAACAUCUAACUAUUCUUCCUCUUAUCCUUUUUUUUUCCCAAAUAUUGCAGCUUUCUUGGGAGAGGUUCAACCAAACUGUAGGGACAGUGAAAAUAUUACUCUUAACGUUGUUCAGAACAGAGGUUCAACGGUUUUAAUGUUGUGUUUUAAAGUUACAAGUAUUAUAUAUUCGUUACGUGUGGUUAUGUAAUUUGCUGAUAUAUAAGUACAUUGAGUGAGGUAUAUGUGUGUGCCUGUGUGGUCAUUACUGAAUUUCUCAGUAAUAUAAUUUGCAUUGACUGCAGAUUUGUGUAAUGGGAACGGUGGUGUCUGUAUUUUUUGCUUUGUGAUUGACGACUUACAUUUGCCCAGGAAGAAAUGAAAACAAAUCGGCUUCUUGAAAUUAACCAUUUAUUCUUUCGAAUGGUAACCUUUUUGUGACAUGAUUCGCAUAUUAAUCAAAAGCAGUUGGCAAACUAAUCAGAUAUUGCAUCGUGAUUCGUGGCCUUGAAGUGAAAUGCGUGAGCAUGUUUGUGGAGGUUUUUGUUUUUGUUUUUUUUUUCCUCCAUAUAAAAUGACUAAUUCGAAAGAAUAUGUAUUGUAAUAGAACCUAGAACUUCUAUGUACUUUAGGAUGAAAAUUCUGUACGAUAGAAAAUAUUAAAACGAAAAUUAAAGUUGAUAUGAGAAAAUUAAAGAAGCUUGCAACUUGGAACUGCAAUCUAGCUCGACCUACUAUAUAUAUAUAUAUAUAUAUAUAUAUAUAUAUAUAUGUUAUUAAUUAAUUGAUCAGGUAAGAUAGGGAGAGACUCGCAGACUCUUUACAAGGAGCAAAAAUGGUAUGAAACUCUGUUUUGAUUAAAAUUCAAUGACUUUCUUCGUAUUAAUCAAAUUAAUUGAUUAAUUAUUUUGGUAAAAAGAAUUUGCGAAAAGUCAUUUUAUCAAAUGAUUUGGUGAAAUUUCAAGUACUUUCAUCUUGGUUUUUGCAGUUAAUAGGAAAUAGUUUGGUCUUGGGAUGUGGUAUAUGUAUCAACUUCUUAUUGCUGGUGAACAUUACUGGUUUAGUGUGCGAUCGUUUACUAUCACUGCAUGCAUUAUCAGUUUAUUUUAUUGAACUAUCCCAAAUCAGUAACGAAUCCUCAAUUCCCUCUGUUUUCUUUGGAUCCUAGUAGUGUUUGGCAUGCAUCAACUAGUGUUCAUGCAUGUGUCGGUUCAUCAUAGACAACUUCAGCACACAUACAACAGCCCUCAUUUCUUCUUAUAUUGUCGGUUCGAUAUCAUUUUGAAAAAUCAUAUCAAAACUGCUUUUGGAGUUCUAAUCCAGUGCAGUUACACCUAUAUUGUACUUUUGAUCUGCAACCUUGAGUCACUGUCAUUUUGCUGUUAGUAUUUCGAUUAGCAACUUGUACAGUGGUAUUUGAACUGCAUGGUAUGUCAACUUUCACUCUAUGUGUCUUAGAAACUCUGUAUAUCACUAAUUUCCUAGCACAGGCCUUGUUGACAGUCAAAGAUUUGAGGCAUAUUUCUGUAUUGAAGGCUUUUCUGUCGUCAAUUUGAUGAUGAGCGCAUGUAUUAUCCCCAAUAUUUUGAGCAGGAACUUGUAACUAGUAAUAACCAGUACCUAAGAUGUUGCAUUUGAUUGACUUCUCUUUCUCGUUUAGUUUCAGCCGUUGGAGUUGUUUCAGACAUGGUAACUGAUACGUAAUUUCUCUCUUUCCACCCCACAAUGUAUCAUUAGUCAUCAUUCGUUCUGGUUGGCGCGGAUACGCAUACUAAUUUGGAUUAUUGUCUGUGCCUUUGUCUUUUGUCAAUAAUCUUUUGCAUUUCAGGAUUAGUACAUCUUGUGUACUGGUAUACUCUCUCAACUAUACAUGUAAGACUUUGUUAUGUUUUCUUGACCCGUAAUCUAAUGCUAUAAGAUGACGGCAUAAUUGAGCUAUUUUGCAUCUCCAUGCAGGCCUGAUUUGGUUUUUGUGUCACUACCUGCAUUAGAUAUUGGUAGUCAAUGGCUGCAGAUGUACAGGUGCCGUUUCGUUUCCCUGACAUAAUCUCAUGUAACAUGAAAUUGCUUGUGAAACUGGAAGAUACUUGAUUCUUUUUUUUUUUCAUUUUUGCUAAAGAAAAGUGUUACUUGCGUUGGGAAAUAUGCCUACCACUCUGGAUCUCCGUUGCAGUACAUUCUUGAGAGGAAAAUCUAGCCAUAAAAUGUAAAAGACAACACAAAUUGGCCUUUCAAAGCCUAUUAUGGGAACCGGAUGUUUAUGGGUUAUAGUUGUGUGGCAUGUGAGGUAAUUGUAGCUUUCCGUGUUAUUAUCCAUAUCAGGAUUUGCAAAUGUUAUCAGUGCUUUUUACCUGAUCCAACUGUUUCAACCCUGCAGCUUCUUUACCUAAUCAUAUUUCUUAUUGCGGAGACGCAGAGUGAAAGUUUGGUGGAUGUAGGUUCUCAUUUUCUUACUAUUAGAUUGUUCUGCAUAUAGAAAGAUUUCCCCUGUUUCUGGCUUUGCAAACAAUCUCUUCUUUCAGGUUGUGGUGGGUGCUGUGCGACAGGGCUCGCCUCUUUCCUUCCUAGUUGCAUUGAGUUUAUUCGGUUGGGCAAUCAAGCAAACGAUCAAUGUCAUAAAGGUAACUUGCACUCCAUAUUAUCGUAAUGUUCGUUUAUUCUGAUACUUCUUCACAAUAAGUAAAUUUCUUGAUGUCUACAAAUUAAGGAGACUUUUGUAUGGGUAAAGUUGACAUUUUACAAUGGCAUUCUGGAUCCUGAAAUCGGUCAGUUUGAGAUUCACAUGCUGUGAUAUGCUCUACUGUUAAAACUCAAACCUUUUCUGUAUCUUAAAUGGAUUGUCGUGGAUAUGCCUGGGAUGAUCAUUUUCUUCCUCUUCACUUCAUCAUCUUUGUCAUAGUAGUUAUAAUUGAUUGAGGAGUGUGAAAACGCAUUGUGAUGAAUGAAUGCACAAGCUAUGUGAUUAAGACUGCAUUUAUUAGGUUGGUGACGGCAAAUAUCAGGCAGGAUAUUCACAAUAGUGCUACUGAAGCUUAAUAUGGAAUAAGGAGACCAAACCUCUAUAUGAUAAGAGUUGUAUGAAUACCAAAUGAAUUGUAAGAGGAUAUGGUUAAUUUAGAUUGUAAUUUAAGAAAGCUUGAGUUCUAAGAGCACAGAAAUGGGAUCAGUCUUGCUCAAGUGUGAACUCCAUCAGUUAGGAAGUUGUCCAUCAAAUGGAAAUAUUUAUGUGAUUCAGAGAAAUUAUGGACUUUUGAUGAAAACAAAAAUCCUGUAUGCAUUUGCUUGCUCCCAAUCCUGUAUGCAUUUGCUUGCCCCGAAGGAGCUGAAAGUUCUCAAAUUGUUUGUAGACGUCAUAGUUCUCCUGAUGUCAUUUGGCUUGGUAAUCUUUUUUGCUCGAAAAUUUGCCCAUUGUGUGGUCUUGACGGUGGGUGAAAUUGAUUUGUGGUUUCAGAUGAAGACAUCAGCAGAUGUGUGUGCGCUAUAUCACAUCGAGAAAAAGCAAAGGCCUUAAAGAGUUCAUCAACAUUUUCCAUUUCAGAAGAAUCUGUUUGUGGUUCUCCUGCUCAAGUGCCUACUUUUCGGGGUGCAGCAUAUAUGUUGAGACCGGCAUAUGAAAUCACUAUACUUUUACAGUUGAUCCGAGGCUUCCCUAGCAAAGGAUUUGGAAUUAAUUUGGGGAAGGGGUGUUUUUUGGGUAUAUGAGUGUGUGCAUUCCUUCAAUCACGUAGCUUCGUGCCAUUGACUUAUUGGCAAUUCCACAAUGGUGAUAAUGAUAAUUUUAUGAUUGGGGCACAGUGUUAGGAACUCUUUACUGGUUUUUUUUUUUCGCAUCUAUGUCUAUGAUUAAGGUUGUUUAAGGUGGUAUGGAUUUCAGUACAUUGAACAAAAAAUUAUUUAUUUUUAUUCAAAUAAAAAUACCUAAAAAUCAAACCUAAGUUAAAAAAAAUAAAGUUUAAAAAAUUCUGAAAUUAAUCAAAUUUUAAAACUUGAGACUUUUAACAGAUUAAUCCAACCUUUGAAUAAAUAAACUAAAUGGGGGUCAGUUUUUCUCGUGUCAGCUUGUUCAAUCGACACUAUCUUUUCAACCUCUCACGAAUAAACAAAUCACUAAUGAUGUGUCCAUUUCUUCUACUUUAUAAUAAUUUUUAAUAAAAAGAUUAUUAAAGUGGUUCGGCUGUGGGAGCCACACGUGUCUGUGGCAGCGCACACCCAAGAGAAGCCAGUCUGGUUCCAAGAAGAAAGUGAACAUGAGAUGAUGAGAUGCCGUAUCAAAUGGGGCCACGUAGACAGAGAUGCUUCGAGGUGACAUGUCAGCAGAUACCUCCACCACCGAUCUUCAAAAUAAUUUGAACGGUUGGGAUUUUAUUUUCAACUUACCUGUGUCCAGGCUGUUGUUGAUUGUCGCUAUCCUCAAUUGUCCACUUCGAAUUUUUUUUUCAAUUUCUCCAACACUCUCCUAACCAAAGGAGUUAAUAAGAUUUCGAUAUUUUUUUCUUUAAAUGAUUUGAAAUAUCAAUAUUUUAUAAUUUUUUUUGGGUCCUAUUUUGUCCAUAAAAUGUUUAGCGAUCCUUUCGUUAAUUAGUUUCGUGGCUGUCUUAUCAAAUUAUUACAACGGUGAUAUUGGUUAGACACAAAAAUUAAGAAAAAAAAAUGAUUAUAAUUAUCUGCGUGGCGCUAACACACUCUUUCACCUUCAAUGCACUGAAACUGGGGAACUACAUGUAUGAUUUUCAUUCAGAAAAACCGAUGGGAACUAAUGACUUUCCAGAUUAAAAAAAAAAAUAGGAUUAUCAAACAAUGUAGCAUUGUUAUGUAAAGUUUUAUGGUUAUUUUAAGGCUAAAAUUGGUUUAGAAAUUAAUUAAAAGACUAUAUUCAUUCUAACAUAAAACGAGUUUUUAACAAGAGGAGGAGGUUCCUUUUAUAAUUUACUAAUUUAUACAACCUUUAAUAUUAAAACAAUAUUUUAUAUAUUAAGGACGAUGAUUCUUGCUCACUUAGUAAGAUAUGUAGACAUAACAUAGAUGUGGUGAUCAAUUGCAGGUUUCUAGUUUGGUUGCUUAGUUUGAGGAAAGAAUAUAUGCUAUGGUGUUUGGCUGGUCUGCUUUUUCUUUUCAAUUAAUGUAAUAUUCUUAUGCUUUGGAAUUGAUUAUCAUAACUAAAGGAAAGAAUAUAUACUAUGGAAUAUAUGCUAUGGUCUUUGGCUGGUCUACUUUUUUCUUUUCAAUUAAUGUAUUAUUCAUAUGCUAUGGAAUAUGAAUAUUACAUUAAGGGAAAGAAUAUUUUUACACAGCACACUAUAAUACUCUAAUUACCAAUUUUUUAUCUUGUAAUACAAGGUCAUAGCGAUUAAUUUAUCCGUCUUCAGCCAAAAAAAAAGUCCCAUUUCAGCACAUAUACAAGAGCCCUCAUUUUUCUUUGCUUCAGCCAUUUUAUAGCAGAAUCAUCACAGACACUUUGAGCUCUGCCGAAUCAUCAUAGACAAUUUGUGAUUGGUGGGAGCAUUACAAGAAAGGUACGACUACUUCGAACCGAUAGAUUUGUUUAUAUGAUUUAGCUAUCGUUUUAACUUUUAACAAUAAACAAGUGACAAUCAUGUACAUCAUUGGUUACAUAAAUAUUAAAAUGAGAUAAAUUUAUUCCUCUACUUGCCAGAUCCAUACAUAUUAAAAUGAGAUAAAUUUUAAGGUUUAAAAAUUUGCAAUUCAUCAAAAAUCUAGUGCGAUAUUAAGCGGUAAAAUCACUUAGGGUUAGUACAAGAGGUUUAUGAUUCCCUGACUCAUUUAUAUAGGUGGAGACUCAUUUAUAUAGGUGGAGAGGGAAUUAGGCAAUAAAGAAUUGAUACAAAUUAAUAAUUAUAUUAUAAAAAGAAAUAAAUUUCAAGAGGGAUCAUAAGUUCAUAGAAGAUUGUAUGUCAGUUAUUUGUAGUGGAAUGGAGUUUUUUUUGGAGAGGCUAUUUGGCUUGGAAUAUAUAUUAGAAUGAGAUUAUUUGAACCUACCGCAAUACUCUCUAAAAUCCACUUUUCAAAAAAAAAUUUCAGUACAAAAUUUUCCUUAAUUAAAUUACUAUUUUAGCCAAAUAUUAUGUUGAUUUAUCUCCCUAAAGUUUUUAUUUUUUUUUCACUCUUUUUUCUCUUUUCCUCUCUGUUUCCCCAAUUUUUUUUUUCCAGUCCUAUGUGGUUCUUAUAUUUUAAGGCUUCUAUUGGAGUAAGAUCUAUAUUCAAAUUGCUUAUCCAAAAAAAAAAAAUCUUUUAAAAUUUGCCUUUCCUUUACCCUCAAGUCACUAUUAGAUGUAUGUGCUCCUCAAGAAACUUUAGUAAUUGGAUUUCUAUUAAAUAUUUUAAUUUCAAAAAAUGAGAAGGUCACUAUACAAAUAUCAAAAGAUCACCAACUUAAUUAUACUAGUUAUAAUUAAGGGAAAUAAAAGACUUACUAUUUCUAUUUGAAGUUAUUAUGAUGAACAAAGAAGAGGGAGGGGGGGGGGGGGGGGGGGGGGAACAAGUCGCUGCAAUUGCAUCAAUUGAUGACAUGUUAAGAAACGUAUCAUUGAGAUAAGAUUUAAUUGAUAAAAAUAAGAUUUACUAGAAAGUAGUGAGAGAAACAACUAACAAAAAUUCAUGAUACUUAUUGAGGGUAUAUUGAGAAUAUUUGUGGCUUUUUUGAGUAAAAAAAUAAAGUUUUAAUUUGUGAUAAUGUGUUUAUUACGUAAAUGAGUUUAUUUAAUAUUCCAGUGGAUUUAAGUAGCCUUACCUUUCAUAUUAUAAUAAAUUUUUACAUUACUCUAUAUUACCCCUACUAUAGAGGACAAUGUAAUGAAAAUAUUGUUACUCUUAUACCUAUUAAAGAAACAAUAUUAUCUUGUACGUACAAGAACGUUCUAGUGCCCAAGUAAAAGUUUUAGUAAAACGUAUAAGAACUCUAAGUGUAAAGAGAAUUUCGUCAAGGUACUAUAGUAGUAUCGAAUGCUCUUUGCUAGUGUAAACUAUUUGUGCCACGUGUAGUAUUUCAAUCUUCACAAGUGGCAUUGCAUAUAGUGGCUCUUAUUUCAGUUCCUCAAAGGCACUCUAGAGGUACGUUAGCUUAUAAGCUAGUAUUUGGUCAUCAUGUGCUUCUUUUAAUGAAACACGUGGUUCAUUUUGUCCUCAUACGAGAGCAUUUUGUGUGGAAUAACCUUGUAAAAUGCUCAUUUAUCAAGGGCACAUGUUGUGUUGUUGGAACAUAGUAAAAAUAUGAUACGCUAACCCAUGUGCAUUUAUGAAAAAUCAAAUGAAAACAAAGAACUAAAAAAAAUGCAAAGGCUAAUUCAUAAUGUUUGAGUUUGAGAUGAUUAAUAUUUAAUUUUAUGGUUGCAAAGAUAAGAAUAAAAGUAGGUCUAGUGAGAAAUACCCUCAUAUUAUAAUACUAUUUAAAAUAAAUUUUGUUAUAAAAGAUUUUAUUUAAUAAGGUAUGGAGACUGUUCAAAAUAUAUUUUACGUACAAACUCAUAUGUUUGACGUGAUAGUAUGUCCCAUGCUAGGACUAGCAAUGGUCAAAUCAACCUAUUUCGAUAAGAUCCAUCAAAAUUAAUAUUUAAAAAAUUUAUCAUCUCAUUAUACAAUACACAGCUUUGCCAUCUAGUAGAGAAUGAUUGGUUGGCACACCAUAGUUUACACGAAUAUUUCUAAUAUUUGAAUCGUCUGUUAGAAAAUUUUAAUCCUAGCAAGAUCUUGUAAGUAAAAAUAUCAAAUAAAUAGUAAAUAGAAAAUAUACAGAGAAUAAAACCAAUCAUACAACACAAUAAUUUACGUGAAAAAUUCUUAUAUUGAAGAAAAACCGCAGUCGCCAAAGAUGACAAAAGAAAAAUCUACUAUUUAAAGAUCAUUACAAUUACUUUAAUAUUUUCCUCACAUAAAAAACCCCAAUAACAAAUAAUCUCUCAUUUCAGAAACUGUCUACUUGUAUAGAGCUGAUUGUUGUGUUAUUUAAAUAAGUGAAUCUAACCUUUCGUAUAUAUUGUGAUUAUUUUAUAUUGGAGAAAUAUUUAUUUCCUUAUAUAAUUUGUAUUUCUCCUUUAAUAAGUUCUUUGGCAUUACUUAUUCCUUAAACAUGAACCCCCCCCCCCCCCCCGGAACAAGAAAAUUACUAAAUAAAAAAAUUCUAGGAAAUAUCCUAAUUUAGGAUUUACAAAUCUUCAUUGAAAAAGGAGAUAUGUUUCUUAAAAAUCUCCACUUUGGUGAGUUUUUCAAUUAAGUGACAAAAUAUAAUCCGCCAUACAUCUAUGCAACCAUGUCGUCUCCCCCUUAUUUAGUCUACCAAAACCACACUAACAUAAGACUAAUGAGAAUCACUCCACCAUGGGUAAAAUCUUGUCCUCUAUCCAGCAGCCAUAAUUUUCUACAUCGAGAAUCAUCAUACUCCACAUUAUCCAGAGUACACAUGUUUUGUAACACUCCAAAAAUUACCCACGAAAACACAAGGAUAAAAUUGGAAUGAAACUUUACAUCAUUUAUUCUUAUUAAUAAAUCUCAAGAUAGACAAUUAUUCAUACUCCAACUGAAUCCGUACAUAAAACAUCUGAAAUAAAGUCUAUAAAGAAAAGUCUCUAGUCCAAAAUAAAAAGUCUAGCCAAAUUCACUCUUGAAAGCAACUCCAAAGAUCCACUAAGAAAAAUUCUCCAUUUAAGCACCCAAGCCACAUUUCUAAUCAAUCUGCAAAAUAUUGGAGACGAGGGGUGAGCCGUCAACUCGGUAAGCAAAUCUAUGCACAAUAUUUGAAAACCUUGUAAGUUUACCUUUAAAUAUUUUAUAACAACAUCUUUAUUUAGCAUAAGGGGUGGAUUCAUAUAAAAGCAUUAAAAACAUUAAAACAUUCAUAAAAACGUUAAAACAUAAACAUUAGUAGCUCAUGCCUCGUAGUCAUCAUUAUUCAUCAUUCAUCAUUUAGGGUGUUAUACCCCGCAUUUUUCCUCAUUUAGGGUACUAUACCCCACGUUGUUCAUAAUAUCCUUGUGCACCAGAUCAUCAUCAUACCAGCAAGUUGGCCUUAGCAUUUCAUAACAUCAUAACAUUAACAUCAUAUAUAUUACUACAGACUAUGAGCCAAAACAUUUUUGAAUCCACCUUACAUCUUUUCAUAAAUAGCAUUUAAAGUCUUCUAAAACAUUUAAUUCUUUUAAAAAAUUCUUUAAGAAAACAUUUAAUUUUAAAAAAACUAAUUUCUUAAGAAAAAAUCAUUUUAAAAUACAUUUAUAUAAAUUCAUUUAGAAGCGUUUUUAUUUUACAAAAUUCAUUUAAAUAUUUUAGAAAUCAGUUUUGUAAAAAUCUCUAUUUAAACAUAAUUCGUAUUUAUUAUAAAGGACAUCAUGCAUGAAUCUACUUAUCUUGAUCCAUAUCAAUCAAUUCAAUACCUUAAGAAUAACCAACGAGCUCACCCAUGUCCUAUAAUUAUCAUAAAAAUAUUCUUAUCAAUAUCAUCUCUAACCUUAAACAUAAUCCCAGUCAUCCUUAAAUCAUAGGCACUUAUACUAGCUUAAUACUUAUACAUAUUCUAAACAUAUCCUAUACUUAUGAGUAUCAUGUACAUGCUGAUUUUUAAUAACCUAUACACAUGUCGGAAAACCAUGAAAAUUUACAGAGGCACUGUGAACAUGCAUAGCAUUGCAUACAAUAUUUCACAAAAAUCAGCACAAGUCAAAAUCGAGUCAGAAUAUUGACCUUUCACCAAAGUAACAAAAUUGUCCAGCACUGAUCAAAACAGACAUUUUCCACUUAUAAAAUUCAUAAAAUUUUCUUUAGUACUCGAAAUAAUAUGUUUCUUUUUUUGAAUCACAGAAGAAACAUUCAGAAAGCACUAAUUAAAUUUCAUAAUUUUUGGACUCCUGAAACUAUUUUAAAACGUUUUAUUUCCAAGAACAUCUAACCCGUCCAGAAAAUCUCAGAGUUGAAAACAGAAUUUCAAACAUUCGUAUCUUUUAUUUUACAUGCCCAAAAAUCACGAUUCCAUUUUUUAAAGAUAGAGGAAAGAUUGAAAUUUCAUUAUAAAAUCCUAACAUGACAUGUAAUAUUCAUAAACUAGCCCAACUGUUAUACGUUUCAGCUUCUGCAAUUCUGGAAAACAGUUUUCAGAUUUGCAGCAGCCACAUGUUACGGUUUUUAAUAAUUCAACCAUAAAGAAUAAAACUACGAAAUUACACAUGCAAGCAUAGGAGACAUAGAUCUGUUGAUACAAAAAUCGCCAUAAUUUUUAAGGAUGUGUAACCUUAUAGAAAAAUUUCCAGAAUUGAGAACCGCUGCUGAAAAUCGGAAUUUUCCAGCACCAGUAACCCAACUUCGAAAACCCAUAACAAUUUGCAUAAUCAGACGAUUUCAACACAAAACCUAUCAAUGGAAAGCUUAGGAUGUCUAGUUCCAUGAUAUGUAAGCAUAUUCAUGUGAUUCUAAAUAAAGAAAACGCUUUCAAGCAAGGAAUAGAGGCUGUUCAUAUCAUCACAACAUUACAAACACGCAUAUAUUACCCAAAUCAUACUACAAGUAAUUAAAGGCAAACAAUUCAAAAAAAUAAAUCAUAUAAGUCUAAGAAAUAUUUAGUACCUUAAGGAAAACACUAAGGUGGCGUUUGUUUUUUAACUUAAUGACUUAAAGUGACUUAACUUAAUUAAUUAAGUUAAUUAAAGGUGUUUGUUUUUAUAACUUAAUGAGACUUUUUAGAUAAUUUUGACUUAAUAAAAUAAGCCAAUUUUUUUAGCUUUUUACUUAAUGGAGAAAUCUGAAUUAAGUCAAUUACUUACUAAUGUCAAAAAUAUCCUUGCUUUAUAAUUUAUUUUUCAUGUUUAUCCCAAACUCAUCCAUAGACAUUUACCCUACAUAAAAAUAUCCAUGUUUUUCUUUCUUAUAUUAUAUACGAUAAAAUUUAAAAUUUAUGGUAUUUUAUCUAUUAAAAUUCUAAAAUAAUUAUGUAUUUACUUGAAUUUAGUUUUACUUAUAAAUGUUAAAAUAUUGUGGCAUUUAAUAUAUUAUUUAUUUGACAUUCAAAUUUAAUAAGGAUACAAAUGUAAAAGUACAUAUUUUUAACUUUUUAAGUUGAAAAAAACAAACAACUUAAUACUUAUUUUCUGAGAUUCAGACGAAAAAAUAAACAUAUUAUUCAGAUUCAGACAUUCAGAUCUAUUCAGAAUUCAGACUAAUUCAGGUAUAUUCAGAUUUUAGAUAAAAAAACAAAUGCCACCUAAAAAAAGAAAGUUAUAAAACUUUCUUUUCCUUCUCCAAAGACUUAUGUUUCUUUUUUUUUUUUCUUUCUAGAGUUUGUAACGGUGUAGAAAAUAAAAGACGACUUCCUCUUAAAUACUUGUCAAUUAAUAAAUACUUUUAAAAAAAAAAUUAAUAACUUACAUAAUUUAUUUAAAGCAAUUUGAUAAAUUUUACCCACACACAAACACUCAAUAAUAAUUAUCCUACUCAAUUUUGAUAAGGGUAAAAGUAGAAAAAUAAAUAAAUAAAUAAAAGUGGGCGUUACAUGUUUGGCAUAUGUCGAUGACAUUUCUAAAAUUACCCACUCUCAUGUUUGGCUUUUUUGAGAGUCCUCAUCAAUCAACAUAAAAUUUCAUCUCAUACCUUGCAUAAAUACUAAACUAGGGGUUGUGUGCAUAUCUUGUGGACCAAUUAGCAAUAACACAUCCUCUUCACGAAACACCAAUAGAUGUCAUAAUUACUAUCUCUUUCUGUUGAUUUAGAACUACUUUCCAAAUUUGCUAUAUUCCAACAAUCUCUUUUAAGAUGUUUUGAUUACCUACACUCGUCCAAGGGUUUCUACUAGUGGAAUAGGCCUUACAUUGUUCUUUGCUUUACUUGUACAGACAUAUUGAAUCAUUACGUUAUUGAUUUGAGCUUCCCAUAAGCAAACAUUGAUUAUUCUGUCAAACUUUUUCGUUUCUAUCUUCAUAGGUUUUGAAAACCUCCUUGUUGCCAUAUUUGCUCUACAUUGCAACCUUAGCUCUAUUAUCACCUACUAAGAAAUAAUUAAUCCCACUUAAGAUUCGUAAGAAAAAAUAUCAAAUAAAUAGUAAAUAUAAAAUAGAUAGAAAAUAAAGCCAAUCAAAUAAUACAAAAUUUACAUGAAAACUUCUAUAUUGGAGAAAAACUAUAAUAGCCAAGGAUGAUAAGAGAAAAAAUUAUUAUAAUUACUCUAGUAUUUUUUUAACACCUAAAACACCAAAAGCACCUAAUCUCUUAAUAGAACUAUCUUUUCUCUCGCAGUAAAAACUAUUUACUUACAGACAAUCGAUUGUUAUAUUAUGCAAAUAAGUAAACCUAAUCUCCAUAUAUGUGUGUGUGUGUGUGUGUGUGUGUGUGUGUGUGUGUGUGUCUAUGUAGGUAUGUAUGUAUAUAUGUAUGUAUGUGUAUGUAUGUGUAUAUAUAUAUAUAUAUAUACUCACACAUAUAUAGAUACCUACAUACAUACAUACAUACAUAUAUAUAUGUACAUGUAUGUACAUACAUACAUAAAUACAUACAUACAUACAUACAUACAUACAUACAUACAUAUACACACACACAUACAUGCAUACAUACAUACAUACAUACAUACAUACAUACAUAUAUGAUUUGUAUUCCUCUUUGAAUAAGUUAAGUUCUAAAGAGAAAAUUACUUAUUUGUUAAAUAUGAAUUAUCUUCAAUAAGAAAACUGAAAAGUGUAGAAAAUUCCUAAUUUAGGACUUAAAAAUCUUCUUUGAAAAAAGAGACAUCUCCCAAUAUCCUCAAAUCCUCUUUACAAUGCCACCAAAUCUCUUUUGUGACUAGCCCGGUUGAAACUUUUAAUUAAUGGGCUGUAAUUGCCAAUAUCCAAAAUAUCCAAAUAAAACAAAUUUCCAUAGGUAUAUUGGUAGAUUGAAUGACAACUAACAACACGUGAUUUGAUUAACUUAUUUCCAAAAAAAAAAGAAAAAAAAAAGAUACAAUGGAUGAACAUAAGACUCUUGUGCCAACUCAUGGAAUUCAUCAAUAAGGCCUUGGCUGAUCCACCUCAUGACUAGUAGAGUUCAAACCCCCGCUAAAUAGUAAAAAAACUAUUUGGAUUAUUAAUUACUCUUUCUUAAGUCUAUUUAAACUUAACUUUAAGAAUUAUGAACGUCUACACUUUAAUUAAAACAAUACAAGCCCACCCGUUUGUAUUUAAAAUUUUGUUUGAAUUUAUUCACGAGCAACAAGAAUAGUAUAAAUGGAAAAAAAAACCAUCAAAUAAUAUCCCAUGACUCUGUUUCUUCAAUUUCAGGAGCAAUGGUGGAAUCAUAUUUUCCGAUUGAAAAACUUUUGGAAAAAUUAGUGAGCUCUACUUGUGAAGAACUUUUAUUGUUCUACGGUGUCAAAAAUGACUUAUAAAAAUUAAAGGAGACGUUAACCACUGUCAAAAGUGUGGUUUUGGAUGCUGAGGAAAAGCAAAUCCAUAAUCACCGGUUAAGCGAUUGGCUGGGAAAGCUUAAAGAUGCUUGUUAUGAUGCAGAAGAUGUGUUGGAUGAAUUUGAGGUGGAAAAUCUACGAAGGCAAGUCAUGAAGCAAAGAAGCAUCGGAAGAAAGUUUCGUAACUUUUUUGGAAGCUCAAAUCCGAUAGCUUUUCGUUUUAGAAUGGGCCAUCAAAUCAAGAAAAUUCGAGAGAGAUUUGAUGAGAUUGCAAAAUUGAGGGGUGAGUUUAAUCUCAUUGAACGACUUGACGAUCAUCAGCGAGUUGUGCACAAAGAAAGGGAACCCACUCACUCGUUUGUGCUUUCAUCUGAUAUUAUUGGAAGAGAUAAAGAUAGAGAGAAGAUUAUUGAACUAUUGAUGCAAACAAGUGACGGCGAAAGUGAAACUGUGUCUGUGGUUCCUAUUGUGGGACUUGGAGGUUUGGGCAAGACUGGACUUGCAAAAUUGGUGUACAAUGAUCAAAGGGUAGAAGAGCAUUUUGAGUUGAAAAUCUGGAUAUGUGUUUCUGAGGAUUUUGAUGAGAAACAACUUAUGACAAAGAUUAUCAAGUCGAUAACUGGUCAAAACCAAGGUGACUUGGAUACAGACCAAUUGCAACGAACCUUGCGAGAUCGUUUGAAUAGUAAGAGAUACUUGCUUGUUAUGGAUGAUGUAUGGAACGAAGAUCCUGAAGCAUGGCGUAAAUUAAAAAGCUUAUUGUUGGGAGGUGCUAACGGAAGCAAAAUUUUGGUAACCACACGUAGCAGGAAGGUUGCUUCAAUCAUGGGCACGAGGGGAGGUACUACUGGCUACAACUUACAAGGUCUACCAUUCGAGGAUUGCUUGUCUUUGUUUAUGAAAUGUGCAUUUAAAGAAGAGCGAGAUAAACAUCCAAACCUUGUUAAAAUCGGGGAAGAAAUUGUGAAAAAAUGUGGGGGAAUUCCUCUGGCAGUCAGAACACUAGGAAGUCUACUAUAUGACUCAACGGAUGAACAUGAUUGGGAAUAUGUGAGGGAUAAUGAGAUAUGGAAGUUAGAGCAAAAGGCAAAUGACAUUUUACCUGUUCUGAGGUUCAGUUAUGAUCAACUACCGCCUCGCCUGAAACAAUGUGUUGCUUAUUGUUGUAUCUUUCCAAAGGAUUUUGAAUUUAGUAGUUAUGCUUUGGUUCAAUUUUGGAUGGCUCAUGGUCUUCUCCAAUCGCAUAAUAAGAAUGAAGAGUUAGAAGAUAUUGGUAUGCGGUACGUGAAGGAAUUACUAUCAAGAUCUUUCUUCCAAGAUUUGACUAUUGGGAUGUUAGGAAUGGAGACGUUCUCUUUCAAAAUGCGCGACCUUAUGCAUGAUCUUGCUCAGCAAGUGGCCAAAGAUGAAUUCCUAGUAGUGAACUCUGAUUGUCAAUCUAUUCCCAAAAGUGUCCGUCAUUUGUCAUUUGCUACUGCUAAUGCAUCGAGAAAUGACUUUUCAAGCCUUUUAUCUGAUCUAGGUCGUGUGAGAACCAUUUUCUUUUCACCUGAUGAUGAGAAGACAAGCCAAUCAUUUGUUGAAUCAUGCAUCUCAAAGUCGUAGUUCCUGAGAGUGCUAGAUUUAAAUGGCUCUGCUAUUGAGGUUUGUCCCAGAAAGAUGGGUAAUUUGAAGCACAUGAGGCGUCUUGAUCUGGCGGGAAAUUCUAAAAUCAAGAAACUUCCAAAAUCCAUUUGCGAGCUACAGAGUUUACAAACACUGAAUCUUGAAGGAUGUCUGGAGCUAGAAGAGUUGCCUAAAGACAUAAGGUACCUUGUUAGUCUCAGAGUGUUAGGGCUAACCACAAAACAAAAGUCUUUGCAAGAGAGUGGAAUAAGGAGCUUGAGUUCUCUUCGUUGGUUGUCAAUUUCUAAAUGCAGGAAUUUAGAACAUUUGUUCGAGGAGAUAGAUCAAUUAUUGUCCUUCGAACAUUAUUAAUUGCUAAUUGUCCUCGUCUAAUCUCAUUGCCACCUGCUAUCAAAUAUCUCAGCUCAUUAGAGACUCUGAUGUUGUGGAAGUGUGAAAGCCUUGAUCUUAAUCUGAACGUGGAAAUGGAAGGUGAAGGAAGUCAUCAUGAUUGCAAAGACACAAGGCCUCACCUUUGGAGGGUUUUCGUUGUGGAAAUAACACUGUUAUUAGAACUGCCGCAAUGGCUUCUUCAAUGUUGUACUGAUACUUUACGGAACUUGGUUAUUGGAGAUUGUCCCAACUUCAUGGCACUGCCAGGGUCUCUAAAAGAUCUCAAAGCUCUUGAAACUCUUACCAUUCUAGGAUGUCCAAAAUUGUCAUCGUUGCCGGAGGAUAUGCAUGACGUCACAACUCUGAAAUCAUUGACCAUUGCAGGAUGUCCUGCACUGAGUGAAAGAUGCAAACCGCCAACAGGUGAAGAUUGGCCCAAGAUUGCACAUAUCCCUCAGGUUCAUCUUGAUGGCGAGAUGAUUGAAUCAAGUGAUAAUUAGGUAUGGAUUUUUUUUUUUCAAUAAGCGUACCACUCUGUUAUAUUUCCUCUUUUCAUGCAGCUUUCUAAUUUUUAAUUUCUCAUACAGCUAUACCGUUUAUAGUUUAAUGUUUUGUUAUGUUUACCAAACGAAAACUUGACUUUGAACGUUAGUUAGUUCAAUCAAAUUUGUACUAAUUUAUUUUCUUCUAAUACAUAAUUAUUUUGUCGGUACGAAAAACAAAAAUAAUAUUUUGGAAACCGCACUGUUCUCGGGGUCAGAUCUGUUUCUAAAUUCAAACAGUUCAGGAUUUUUCAAAAUGGAACUUAUAAUGAGAUUUUUUUUUUAAUUAUCUAGUUAUCUUCAUAUGGAAUUUCAAUCUUUGUUAAUACUUUAACUUGCCCCGAAACAUCUGACUAUUCUUCCUCUUGUCCUUUUUUUUUCCCAAAUAUUGCAGCUUUCUUGGGAGAGGUUCAACCAAACUGCAGGGACAGUGAAAAUAUUACUCUAAGUUACAAGUAUUAUAUAUUCGUUACGUGUGGUUAUGUAAUUUGCUGAUAAAUAAGUACAUUGAGUGAGGUAUAUGUGUGUGCCUGUGUGGUCAUUACUGAAUUUCUCAGUAAUAUAAUUUGCAUUGACUGCAGAUUUGUGAAGAACAUUGAUUCCAAACAUGUGGUGUCUGUAUUUUGUGCUUUGUGAUUGACGACUUACAUUUGCCCAGGAAGAAAUGAAAACAAAUCGGCUUCUUGAAAUUAACCAUUUAUUCUUUCGAAUGGUAACCUUUUUGUGACAUGAUUCGCAUAUUAAUCAAACGUAGUUGGCAAACUAAUUAGAUAUUGCAUCGUGAUUCGUGGCCUUGAAGUGAAAUGAGUGUUGGUGCUAAUUAGCAAUGUAACUUGUUUUGAUUAAAAUUCAAUGACUUUCUUCGUAUUAAUCAAAUUAAUUAAUAAAUUAUUUUGGUAAAAAGAAUUUGCCAAUUUUGUGGCGGUCUUGAGACCCUUGACGGUGGUGAAAUUGAUUCACGGUUUCAAAUGAAGACAUGCAGCGGAUGCGUGCGUGCCGUAUGACAUCGAUGAAAAAGUAAAGAGUUUGAUUUCUCUAUUUUACCCUUAAUUAAUCGUUGACGUCUAAUUUUACACUCCCAACAAAUUUGAAUGAAACAAUCCUAAUGUUCACUUUCUUCUUCCAUUUCAUUUUACGACUUAACAAAAUCUCGCAACGGAGAUGCUCCUGAUGAGGAGAAGGAGAAGAAGACACAGCGAGUUCGCAAGAACGUGUACAGAGGAAUAAGGCAGAGGCCAUGGGAGAAAUGGGCAGCUGAAAUUAGAGACCCUUACAAGGGCGUCCGCGUUUGGCUCGGCACAGCCGAAAAAGCUGCAAGAGUUUAUGCUGACGUCGCCAAGAAUAUCCGUGGCUCGACUUUGCUCACCGGCCGCCAGUAACUCCACCUCCAGGUAAGAAACGCUUCGUGCUAUCCCGUGAGUUGACUCACCCGAAUUUCGGAGAUUACUUUUUUAUUGGUUUUCAUUGAUUUCUUUUCCUGCUCUUAUCUACGAGGUUGUGCUUUCCCUUGGAUGCCCUUUAAUAAACAGCUUUCUUAAUAACAACUGAAGCGAAAAGUCAUUUUAUCAAAUGAUUUGGUGAAAUUUCAAGUACUUUCAUCUUGGUUUAUGCAGUUAAUAGGAAAUAGUUUGGUGUUGGGAUGUGUUAUAUGUAUCAAGUUCUUAUUGCUGGUUUGUUUCUCAUAAUCGUUAUCCAGUCAAAGCAAACGUUCGCCUCUCACAUUGACGGUUAGGCUAGAUGUUUGACCCUGAAUAAGAUGAUUGAGUUUAUUAUAGUCUUCUUAUAUUGUCGGUUCAAUAUCAUUUUGAAAUAUCACAUCAAUUCCGCGUUUGGAGUUUUAAUCCAUGCCCAGUUACACCUUUAUUUUACUUUUAAGCUGCAACAUUGAGUCACAUUCUUUUUCUGUUAUUAUUACGAUUAGCGACUGGUACAGUGGUAUUUGAACUGCAUAGCGUGUCAACUUUCACUCUAAAUGUCUUAGAAACUCUGUCUAUCACUAAUUUCCUAGAACAGGCCUCGUUGACAGUCAAAGAUUUGAGGCGUAUUUCUGGACUGAAGGCUUUUCUCUAGUCAAUUUGAUGAUAAGCGCAUUUAUUAUCUCCAGCAUUAAGCAGUAAUUUGUAACUAGUAGUAGCCAGUACCUAAGAUGUUGCAUUUGACUGUCUUCUCUUUCUGGUUCAGUUUCGACCUUUGGAGCUGUUUUAGACAUGGUAACGGAUAGGUAAUUUCUCUCUACCCCACCCCACAAUGUAUCAUCAGUCAUCAUUCGUUGUGGUUGGUGGAGAUACACAUACUAAUUUGGAUUAUUGUCCGUGCCUUCGUCUUUUGUCAAUAAUCUUUUGCAUUUCAGGAUUAGUACAGCUUGUCUACUGGUAAUACUCUCUCAAGUAUACAGGGAAGACUUUGUUACGUUUUCUUGACCCGUAAUCUAAUGUUUUAAGAUGAAGGCAUAAUUGAGCUAUCUUGCAUCUCCAUGCAGGCCUGGUUUGGUUUUUGUGUCACUACCUGUAUUAGAUAUUGGUAGUCAAUGGCUGCAGAUGUACAGGUACCUUUUCGUUUCCCUGACAUAAUCUCAUGUUACAUGAAAUUGCUCGUGGAACUGGGAGAUUUUUUAUUUUUUAUUUUUUCAUAUUUACUAAAGAAAAGUGUUACUUUCGUUGGGAAAAAUGCCUACCACUCUUUAUCUCUGUUGCAGUACAUUCUUAACAGGAAAAACUCGACAUAAAGAUGCAAAAGACAGCACAAAUUGGCUUUUCAAAGCCUAUUAUGGGAACCGGAUGUUUAUGGGUUAUUGUUGUGUGGCGUGUGAGGUAAUUGUAGCUUUCCGUGUUAUUAUACAUAUCAGGAUUUGCAAAUGUUAUCGGUACUUUUUACCUGAUCCAACUGUUUCAACCCUGCAGCUUCUUUACCUAAUCCUAUUUCUUAUUGCGUAGAAGCAGAGGGAAAGCUUGGUGGAUGUAGGCUCUCAUUUUCUUACUAUUAGAUUGUUCUGAAAAUAGAAAUAUUUCCCCUGUUUCUUGAUUUUCAAACAAUUUCUUCUUUCAGGUUGUGGCGAGUGCUGUGCAACAGGGUUCGCCUCUUUCCUUCCUAGUUGCAUUGAGUUUAUUCGCAUGGGCGCAAUCAAGCAAACGAUUAAUGUCGGACAGGUAACUUCAACCCCAUAUGAUGGUAAUGUUCGUUUAAAUAAAUUUCUUGAUGUCUACAAAUUAAGGAAACCUUUGUAUGGGUAAAGUUGACAUUUUACACUGGCAUUAUGGGUCUUGAAAUCGGUCUGUUUUAGAUUCACAUGCUGUGAUAUGCUCUAAUGUUAAAACUCAAACCUCUUCUGCAUGUUAAAUGGAUUGUCGUGGAUAUGCCUGGGAUGAUCAUUUUCUUCGUUUUCACUCAUCGUCUUUGUCAUUGUAGUUAUAAUUGAUUGUGGAGAGUGAAAACGCACUGUGAUGAAUGAAUGCAAAAGCUAUGUAAUUAAGACUACAUUUAUUAGGUUGGUGACCACAAAUAAUCGGAAGGAUAUUCACAAUAGUGUUAUUGAAGCUCUAUAUGGAAUAAGGAGACCAAACCUGUAUGUGAUAAGAGUUGUAUGAAUACCAAAUGAAUUGUCAGAGGAUAUGGUUACUUUAGAUUGCAAUUUAAGAAUGCUUGAGUUCUAAAAGCACAGAAAUGGGAUCAGUUAGGGUAAACUCCUUCGUCAGUUAGUGAACUGUCCAUCAAAAGUAAAUAUUUAUGUGAUUGAGAGAAAUUUUGGAUUUUUGAUGAAAACAAAAAUCCUGUAUGCAUUUGCUUGCCCCCAAGGAGCUGAAGAUUCUCAAAUUGUUUGUAGACGUAAUAGUUCUUCUGAUAUCAUUUGGCUUGCUAAUCUUUCUUGCUCGAAAAUUUACCCGUUGUGUGGUCUUGAUGGUGGAUGAAAUUGAUGUGUGGUUUCAGAUGAAGACGGCAGCAGAUAUGUGUGUGCCAUAUGACAUCGAGAAAAAGCAAAAGCCUUAAAGAGUUCAUCAACAUUUUCCAUUCAGAAGAAUAUGUUUUGUGGUUUUCAAUAUAAUUGAAGAAAUGAUGUUUGUACUGAUGCAGAUGCAGGAACUUUACACAUCUUAAGUUUACGAGAUAUAUAUAUAUUUUUUUGACUCUGUUAGAUAGCUGUCAGUUAGUUAACCAAUUUAUGUUACUCUUCCUUGGCUAGCCAAUUAAGAACUUAUGUUUGCUGGAUUGUAAAGCCUACAUCUGGAAGCCACAGGUGAUUUUAUUUGAAGGCAAUUUGUACUAGGCUAUAUGCGGAUUUCUAUCUUGAUUUCUGUAUGCUUGAAGGAGAUUUUUUUAUGCGUGAGAGCUUGAAAAUUAUACAUGUACAUGUUGAAACUAUUGGAUAUAUGUUAAGAAUCAAGCAUAAUUGUGUCAAGAUGAAACCAUAAUUUGGGUGCUGUUUUAUGAGUAAACUAUCUGCAAUUUGGGUGCAGUAAACCUAGGUUGAAUACCAGGACAUGGUAUAAAAGUGAAAUCACACAUUGAAUCUCGCAUAAAGAUUUUAAAGAUGCAAAUUCGAAUUGUACAUGAGAUGUUAUCUUGAUCGAAUUGCAGCGGCUUUGUUUUGGAUCCAGAAAACAAAAUUGAAGGCAUAGAGAAGUCUCUAUGGGAUGCUUAUAUUAAGGUGCAUAAUGGCCUCAUUGAGUUUUGUGCUGUUGUUCUACGUUGUUUGAGUUUUGUGCUGCGGUUCUGUGUUGCUGCUUUUGCUACCGAUUUUGGCUAUUUUCUGCCACUCUGUUAUUUGCUAUUUUUUACUACUUUCGCUGCUGAUUUUUACUGUUUUCGCUGCUUUAGCUGUUGUUUUAUCUGCUGUUUUUUUUUACUGCUUUUAUUUUUUAUUUUUUCUGUUCUCUAUCGUGUUUUACCCACUGGUUGUCGCAUGUUUAUUAAUAUUGUUUGCUGCUGUUUGAUUUGCUGUUUUUUGCUGCUAAUUUUUUUUCCUGUUUUCUGCGGUUAUUUGCUGCCGUUACUGUUUUACUCGCCAGUUGAUGAUGUUUUGUGGUUCUCCUCCUCGAAUGCCUACUUUUUCCAGUGUGCAAGCAUAUCUGUUGAGAGUGGCUGAUGAAAUCACUAAACUGUUACAGUUGAUCUCAUGCUUCUCUAGAGAAGGAAUUAGACUUAUUUUGGUGAAGGGGUUUUUUCUGGUUUUUAUAUCAGUGUGUGCAUUUCUUCAAUCACGUAGCUUUGUGGCAUUACGAUCGAUAAUGGCUGUUAAGCGAAUAAAAGCACCAGGUCGGCCAUACUAUUAUUGCCACCCCGGCAUGGAUCACCUCAGCCCUGUGGUACGAGCAGAGCACAGGGGCACACAUCGACCAGAUGUUCAUAUCAAACCGAUAUACAUUCCCCAGAAAAGCGGGAACACGAUCCCACAGAAUCACUGCAGUUGCGCUUUGCCCAGAACCGUUGAAGGACACGGGAGAUCCCACGUUUGCCACAAUGCAACAAUCAGAGCCCCAUGAGGGGCGGCCACCACCCGAAAAAAGGGGGAUAGAGGGUAAGCGGAAAACGUGGGACAAACAGCGGCUAUAAAAGAAGAGGAAAUCGAUGAAGAAAAGGACACAGAAAAAUUGAGAGGGGAAAACGCUGCCAAAUUGCAACCAGGCCAUUUUCUUACAAAUUUCGAACAAACUUCUUGAAUCCAAAUUACAUUGUUUUCCCGUAAACACCUUGUACUAACUUAGGCAUCGGAGGGUUUACGCCGGCAAAACCACCGGCGUCUCUGAUCCGUUUUUGCUGAACGCAGGUCUAGUGAGAGAAAGGAGGGUGAUUCCAGCCUUAGCGGUUCGUGCAACAGUCGAUAUCUUAAACGUUGGUGGAAGAAUCUGGUCAGUCCAAGGACGAGCAGAUUUCGGCAUCAACAUUUUGGCGCCGUCUGUGGGGAGCUGGAUAAAAAGCUACCACCGAAUCAGUAGUUACCGGAGAAACAGCGAACGAUUAGAUAUGGAUGUGCCGAGAAAGGAUGCUUUGAGGGAGGAUAACGAAACUGUGGAGACAAUCACUCUCCGGGAAAUUGCAAAUGAAGCUUGGGAGAGGAUGAUGCAAGACCGAUUGGAGCGGAUGGAGAAACAAAUGGAGACUCUCGCGACCAUAGUGUAUGAGCUGAGGGAUGAGCGGAGAAAGGAUUGUGAAACCCCCGUGGGGAGAGAUGAUGUUGGAGCAGAACCCAGCUUCCGAAGGCGUAGAGUUGAGGAAAUCCCUCCGCCGGUAGACCAACUUAAUGGGGUGCAUCCCCACAGAAGCACUAGUCGGGCUUCAGGAGAACGAGUAGAUGAAGGGAGGGACCAACCUUGCCCCGGACGGGUACCGGAGAUUGAUGGCCGAGGGGCCAGUAUUGAUGAAGGAGAGCUCAGACAGCGGUUGCAAAAUGCCGAGCAGGAACGAGUUCAGAUAGCUGCGCGUGAUCCUGACCGUGCCGUAGAAUUGGAGGAAGAAGUGCGCAGAUUAGCGCAAGUGAUAGAGGAGAUACAGGGCAAGAGAAAGUCCCCGAGCUGGAGGAUAAUGCUAGAUGAAGAAUCUCCACUAUCAGCUGUGAUCAUGGGUACCAUAAUCCCAAGAGAUUUCCGCUUUCCCGACCUCAAAUACUCCGGGCGAAGUGAUCCAUUGGUGCAUAUUGAACGUUUCAACGACGUGACGGGUGUUCAAGGGUUAACACCAGCCCAGAGAUGUAGGGUGUUACCAUUGACACUGGAAGGACGAGCCGGAGAAUGGUACCGCAAGCUGUCACGAGGAAGUAUCAGAGGGUACGAGCAGAUGUGCCAAGAGUUGGCCGAACAGUUCCGAGGAGCAGUGGCCUCAGAGGAUGAUAUGAUGGAGCUAAUGGGAAUGAAGCAGGAGGAACAAGAAUCCCUUCGGGAUUUUGUAAAACGAUACCACCGAGCCGUGCUUGAUUUGGGGGCCUUCAAUCACCCGCAGGCGUUGAGGGGAUUAAAGGAGGGAGUGAGGAUAGGCCGGCUAUGGUAUAACCUGAGAAGUCCCUUGGUACAAAAUUACUCAGCGGGGUAUGAGCAGGCAAAGAGAGACAUUGAAAUCGAAGAGAAAAAGUCGGCGAGGAUAAAAAGUGAACAACUGGAGGAGCUGAGAAGAAAGGAAAGGAGAAUCCCGAGUGGGAGCGGAUCGGGAAAGCGAGCUGGGGAGUCCUCAGCUAUGGGCGGAAUAUCAGCUUGGUCCCGCCCUUACCACGUAGCUCCGAGACCACAACAGUUCCAACACAGCCGAGCCCAACCUCCGCGCACUUCAUUCCCGGAGCGGCAACGAGAAUUCAGGCAGAUGGCUGCCCGCCCUUAUUACAACGCUCCCAGAGCAUUACAUGCAAGUGGUUCCAGGGCAGGAAGACCAGACCAGCUAGCGACUAUACCAACCCGAGAUGACAUUCAGGAUAGCCGAGCAGUUCAACUGGUAGACCAGAGCUUGGCAUAUAGACAGUACACUCCAUUGAAGAUCUCAAUGGAGGAAUUGUAUGAGAGGAUCGAAGGACGAGGCCUGCUGUACCCGCCAGCCCCUAUAACAAAACUGGCUCACCGACGGGAUAAGAACAGAUUCUGCAAGUUUUACGACACUCAUGGUCACACAAUCGACCAAUGUCGUGACCUGAAGAUUCAGGUGGAGGACUUAGUACGGAACCGGUACUUGGAUGAGUAUGUAGAGGGGGUGUCCCCGAUCAUCGAAUCAAAGUAUAUACGGGAUGAAGAAGUUCAGAGGGGUUUGGAACGUGAACAGCCGACCAUCCAUGUGAUAGCUGGGGGGCCAACAUUGGCUGGGGAUUCGAACAGAGCACGGAAGAACUAUGGGAGAUACGCCAUGACUGGCAAAGAGGUGCUUCUAAAUUUGCCAGCGGCCAAGAAGGCGAAGGUACGGCAAGUUCCCAUUAUGUGGACGGAGGAUGACGAGGAGGGUAUUUUGUAUCCUCAUGAGGAUGCACUGGUGAUUAAAGCAUUGGUGGCUAGCACAGAAUUGCGGCGAAUACUGGUGGACACGGGCAGUUCAGUUGACAUUCUAUUUAAGUCAGCCCUAAAUGAUAUGGGGAUUUUAGAUUUAAAGCUGGAGCGGAUGAAUACAUCCUUAAAAGGAUUUGGAGGGGGACGGUUAACUCCCUUGGGGAUCAUUGAACUCCCGAUUACUGUGGGGACAAAGCCGUUUGAAAGAACGGUGAUGCUGGACUUCGUCGUGGUAGAGGAAAGAAGCCCUUAUCAGAUGAUAUUGGGGAGACCGUUCAUGAGGAUAAGCCAAUGCGUUGUAUCAACGCAUUAUUUGGCGCUAAAGUACAGAGUAAAUAAAGUGGUAGGCGUUGUAAAAGGCGACCAGAGGAUGGCAAGGAGCUGUUAUGCUACAGCAGCCAAGGAGACAUUAUAGGUUACUUCUCUGGAUAAUCGAGGAGAUUCUAAAAAGGGUCGCCAAGAGCCUGUUGAAAAGCUAGAAGAGAUUGUUAUAAGCAGAAGCAACCCGAGUAGAGUGGUUAAGAUCGGAUCAGGACUGGUCGGGACAGUAAAAGACGAGCUGGUAAAGUGCCUACAGUCCCAUGCAGAUAUAUUCGCCUGGUCUCACGGGGACAUGCCAGGAAUUGAUCGCAAGGUAGCUUGCCACAAGUUGACAAUCAAGAAGGGGGCAAGGCCGGUGAGACAGAAGAGGAUAUGCUUUAACCAGGAAAGGUACGAGGCCAUAAACACCGAGGUGGAGAAGCUGUUGAAAGCAUGAUUUAUAAGGGAGGCCAAGUACCCAGAGUGGAUUUCCAAUGUAGUACUGGUGAAGAAGGCCAACGGGAAGUGGAGAAUGUGUGUGGAUUUCACAGAUCUUAAUAAGGCGUGCCCGAAAGACAGUUUUCCUCUACCAAAGAUAGACCAAUUGGUGGAUUCGACAGCGGGUCACAGUCUGCUCAGCUUCAUGGAUGCCUUUUCGGGAUACAACCAGAUACCCAUGGACGAGCAGGAUGAGGAAAACACCACCUUUAUAACUAAUAUGGGUUUGUUUUGCUACAGGGUAAUUCCUUUCGGCCUGAGAAAUGCCGGAGCUACGUAUCAAAGGAUAGCGAACAAGAUCUUCAAGCCCUUGAUUGGACAUACUAUGGAGGUAUAUGUAGACGAUAUGAUCACAAAGUCCAAAGAACCGAGGGAUCACGUGAAACACUUGGAAGAAACCUUUGAAUUGUUGAGGAAGUAUGAAAUGAGGCUAAACCCGGAGAAGUGUGCAUUUGGGGUUAGCUCGGGCAAAUUUUUAUGAUUCCUAGUAAGCCACCGAGGGAUCGAGGCCAACCCGGAAAAAAUACGGGCGGUGAUAGAAAUGAGGUCCCCACGAACAGUUAAGGAGGUGCAGAGCCUUACAGGGAAGUUGGCAGCAUUAAACCGAUUCAUCUCGCGGGCCACAGAUAAAUGUCACCCUCUCUUCCAAACCAUAAAGAAAGGGAAAAAGAUGGAGUGGACAUCAGAAUGCGAGGAAGCGUUUGAGCAGCUGAAGGAAUACCUGACCCGGGCCCCAUUACUAUCGACUCCGAGAGAGGGUGACCAGCUGCUGUUGUACUUAGCAAUCUCUAAAUGGGCUACCAGCUCGGUAUUAGUCAGGGAAGAAGAAGGAAAGCAACACCCGGUAUACUACACGAGCAAGGCCCUGGUAGAUGCAGAAACUAGAUACCCAUUGAUGGAGAAGUGGGCGCUGGCUCUAAUAACGGCAGCACGAAAACUCUGACCAUAUUUUCAGGCCUAUCAGGUUAUUGUGAUGACCGACCAGCCGCUUCGGCAAACACUUCAAAAAUCAGAUGCAUCGGGUCGAUUAGUAAAAUGGUCCGUAGAGCUAAGUGAAUUUGACCUCUCCUAUAGGCCCCGAGGAGCAAUCAAAGUCCAAGCUCUGGCAGAAUUUAUGGUUGACCGAGCUGAUACAGGGGAAGAAAUUCGGGAGGAGCAACUAACAGAGCAGGAGAAGCCAGAGGGGGUGUGGUUGGUAAUGGUUCACGGAUCAUGUAGUGAGCAAGGAUCCGGAGCAAGAGUUGUAAUACGGAGCCCAGAUGGAACCGAAAUAACGUAUGCAGUGAAGUUUGAAUUUCAGCUCACAAACAACCAAGCUGAAUAUGAGGCCUUUAUCACCGGGCUCGGACUUGCACAUGCUCUAAGAGCAGAGAGGGUAGAAAUUCGAGCAGAUUCCCAACUGGUGUGUAAUCAGCUCAAUGAUCAGUUCGAAGCAAGGGGAGAGAAGAUGUGUCUUUAUUUGAAGAAAGCGAAGCAGAUGGUUGGGCUUUUCCAAGCGGUGGAGGUAAAGCAGAUAUCUCGGAAUGAGAAUUACCGAGCAGAUAUGUUGGCUAGGAUGGCUGCCAUUGCAGAUCCAAAAUUACCUAAGUCGGUUCCACUAGAGGUGAGGAUCUCACCAAGUAUAGAGGAAGAAGCAGAGGUUAUGAGAAUAAGUACUGGAGAAUCUUGGAUGGACCUGAUUCGCGCAUAUGUCCGCGAUGGAGUUUUACCAGAGGACAAAAGGCAAGCAAGAAAAUUAAAAUGCCGAGCAGCGAGGUAUACGCUACUGGAUGGAGUGCUGUACUGCCGAGGGUUCACCUUGCCCCUUUUGAGAUGUUUGGAUGAUGAGGAGGCGGAUUAUGUGCUGAGAGAGAUUCAUGAGGGAAUAUGCGGCAAUCACUCGGGAGCAAGAACUUUAGCCUUCAAGGCACUCCGACAAGGAUACUUCUAGCCAACCAUGCACCAGGAUGCGAAAAAGAUGGCAAAGAAUUGUAAAACAUGCCAAAGCUUCUCCGAGGUUCCUGCACAACCCUCGGAAAAGCUGACGGCUAUGACAUCCUCGUGGCCUUUCGCUCAAUGGGGAAUCAACUUGAUUGGUCCGUUGCCUAAGGGACGAAGAGCGGCGACACAUGCAAUUGUGGCAAUAGACUACUUCAUCAAGUGGGUGGAAGUGGGAGUCCUCAGCCAAAUCACAGAGAGAAAGACAAUAGAUUUUAUUUGAAAAAAUAUCAUCUGCAGAUAUGGGAUCCCUUACGCCAUCAUCACAGACAAUGGGAGGCAAUUUGACAACAGCAACUUCAGGAAAUUUUGCCGAAACUUGGGGGUGGACCUGAAGUUCUGUACCCCCGCACACCCCCAGGCAAAUGGACAAGUGGAAGCAGCCAACAAGGUGAUAAAGAAGCUCCUGAAGACUAGAUUGGGAGAGAAUAAGGGAGCUUGGGUUGACGAGCUACCAGGAGUAUUGUGGGCCUAUAGGACAACUCACAAAACCGCCACAGGGGAAACCCCGUUCGCUUUAGCUUUUGGUCAUGAGGCGGUAGUCCCAGCAGAAGUGGGAGUGGGGACACAUCGGACGGAAUAUUUCACUGAGGAGCAAAAUGACGAGCAGAUCUGCUUGAGUCUGGACCUGCUGGAGGAAAAAAGGGAAGGGACAUCGCAGAGAGUGGCCCAGUGUCAACAAAGGGUCAUGCGUUAUUACAACAAGAACGUACGCGUGAGGCAGUUCCGAGCAGGAGAUUGGGUACUUAGGAAGGUGAACCAGAACACCCGGGAUCCUAACCAUGGCGCUCUUGGCCCAAAGUGGGAAGGCCCAUACCGAGUGAUAUGAGCCACUGGACCAGGAGCAUAUAAAUUAGCGUACCAAGACGGACGAGACGUGAAGAGGUCAUGGAACGCCGAACACCUGAAGAAGUAUUUCCAAUAAGCAAAAUGCUCUAUUAAAUCCUCACUCUGGCAAGUUAUUUCUGUUACAAUGCAUGAUGGCCUGUAGCACAUGCAUAUAUUUUGUAUUUUUGUAAUACAUUCAAAUUUCAAUAAAGAUGAAUUCAGAAUGAAAUCCCCUGCUAGCGAGCCCAAUAAGAAAUUUUUUACUAAGGCAAGUAAGUGCCUACUUCUGCUCGGUCAGUGAAAGACUAGCAGCUAAUUUCUUGUAAAAAUUUUACUAAGGCAAGUGAGUGCCUGCUUCUGCUUGGUCAACAGAAGACCAGUAGCUAAUUUACGAGAACUUUACUAAGGCAAGUGAGUGCCUGCUUCUGCUCGGUCAACAGAAGACCAGCAGCUAAUUUAUGAGAACUUUACUAAGGCAAGUGAGUGCCUGCUUCUGCUCGGUCAACAAAAGUCCAGCAGCUAAAGCUUCGAAAAUUCUACUAAGGCAACAAAGUGCCUGUUUCUGCUCGGUCAACGAAAGACCAACAGCUAAAGCUUCGAAAAUUCUACUAAGGCAACAAAGUGCCUACUUCUACUCGGUCAACAGAAGACCAGCAGCUAAUUUACGAGAACUUUACUAAGGCAAGUAAGUGCCUGCUUCUGCUCGGUCAACAAAAGACCAGCAGCUAAUUUACGAGAACUUUACUAAGGCAAGUGAGUGCCUGCUUCUGCUCAGUCAACGAAAGACCAGCAGCUAAAGCUUCGAAAAUUCUACUAAGGCAACAAAGUGCCUGUUUCUGCUCGGUCAACGAAAGACCAGCAGCUAAAGCUUCGAAAAUUCUACUAAGGCAACAAAGUGUCUACUUCUGCUUAGUCAACGAAAAACCAGCAGCUAAAUUUACGAAACCUUGACUAAGGCAAGUAAGUGUCUGCUCCUGCUCGGUCACUGAAGACCAGCAGGCAAUUUUGCAAAAAUUUUACUAAGACAAACGGAUGCCUAUUCCUGUUCGAUGCACUAAAGAACCAACAGGCAAAACCAGACAAGAAAGCCAAUAGAGAGCAUUCAAAAAAUUUUAUAAACGUUCAAAUGUUUACAAAGCAAAUGAAAAACUAGAGUCUUUACAAAAAUAAGACCUAAGGAUUAGGAGGAUCAACGGCCUCAGCAGGUGAAGGGUCAGCUAUCUCGGGAGGUGGAAGGUCAGUAAUAUCGGGAGGUGGAAGGUCAGCAAUAUCGGGAGGAGGAGGCACGGACCUCUGUCCUACUUCAAAAACACGCUGCCCAGCUUCUCCCUCCUGCACCCCAUCCAAAGGAGCCUCCACCUGCUCCUGCUCACCCUGCUCCUUAUCUGCUUGGUCGACCUCUGCCAUAUACCGCUGCACUCCGGCCUCCAGCUUGCUCAUGUCCAGCUCGGGAUAUUCAGUCUUAAGCACAGACAUGAUGCACUUGUAGGAGAAGGCAACCCCAAAAUCAUACUCGGCAUCCAGCCGAUCAUCCACAUCAGCGGAUUUGCCUCUCUCCUCAGUCAGCUGCUCACCCAAGGAUUUGAUUUCCCCCUCAAGGGCGGCCCUCAAAGUAUUCCUUUCAGUUUGAGUAGCUUGAAGAUCAGAUCUCAGGUCACCCAACUCGCCCUCGAGUUUGGAGGAAGUGGAUUCAGCAACCGCAACCUUCUCCUCUAGCUCCGUAAUCUCCUUGUUCAGCUCAGCCAGCUUCUCCUUGGAGCGAUCAACAGAGUCAGCUUUCUUCUUCAAUUCCUGAUUAUCAGCUUGGAGCUUCCUCUCAUGGCGCGCGGACCCAAUCUUAUAGCACGAAACCAUAGUGGCCAACCUGAAGGACACUCUCUGAACAGAAGCAGCUAGCUCGGAGAGGUUCAUACUCUCGAUGUCCUUCACCAUCUUGGGCCCCACCGAUUUCUUGAAAUCCUUCUGAUACGGGCUCAGGUAGUCUGCUUGAUCCCGAGAUGGUAGAGGAGAAGAUCGGUCCCCAGACUGGUGGCUGGCCUCAGGACUCUUGUCAGAAGUUUUCUCCCCGCCACUCUUACGGGGUGGGGGAGGGGGCAGAGCAGGGACAGGAGCCUUGGAAGGGCCGACGCUGGUUUUCUUCGGAGGAGGAGGGGGGUUGCUGGAGCUACUUGGAGCUCGACCACUCUUCCUGCUCAUUGCGCUAAGGAUCGUGUUAUCCAUUCCAACAGCUAGGUCCACUAGGCCCGAACCGACCAGGCUUGUUGGGGACAGGAGGUCUUGGCAGGUAGAAGCGUUAAACAGAGCAGUUUCCACCCAAAGCAAAGGUCGAUCUUCAAGCCCCCCGAUUAAACCCCACGAUUCUGAAAUAGCAAAAGAGGUUAAAGAACUCGAUAAGUGACAAUUUGACUAAGAACAUAGGCAAAAAUGAACGACCUGGGGUGACAAAAUGUGUGGGAAGAUAAAUGUCCCCACCAAGCGACCGAACCGCUGGACACCAAUUCCCUCCAGCAAAGAAGAAUUUGUUCUUCUAAUUUUUACAUGAAGAGGGAAACCCAAUGAUCGGUUUCCUCUUUGCAGAACUGGACAUAAAGUAGUACCAGCCCGCUUCCCUCGGGCUACUCCGCAGCUGGUACAGAUAUUUCACUUCAACAAGGGAAGGCUCCUCCGACCCGCACCUCUCUCACAACACAAACAUUGCCGAGAGAACCCUCCACCCAUUUGGGUGUAGCUGACCUGGGGCUAGGUGCAUAUCGCCCAAUAUCUUGGCAAAAUAACGUUGAAGGGGCAGCCGAGCUCCUAGUCUGAAACUCUCCAAAUGCAUCGUCACAUACCCUUUCGGAGGCCGACUAGGGACAUCACCUUUUCCAGGAACUACAAGAAGAACAUCGUUGGGGAUGUCGUAGAGGUUCCUAAGCUUAAAUAGAUCAGUGGGGGUGGUGGCACAAGCUAUGAAAUCAAUAGGGUAGGAAUCAGCCUCCACCCUAUGGCCAAGAUGCCUUUUUUUAGCAGGUCCGCUCGGUCCGAAACUACUCCCCUCACCAUCACCAGUUCCUUCAGGGAUCCCAACCCCACUAAAGCCGUGGUCCUCACCAGAGCCCGACGCAGGCCCACCUCUAUUCCCUACAAGCUCUAGUUCGGGGGAGGGAGAGACAACCAAGGGUCGUGGGUACUCAAGGGUAUCCUUACCAUGGGAAGGACCUACACUACUGGAGGGGCCUAAGAAAUCUGUGGGUAUUGACACGUUGAGGCCUGAAUCCCCUGAUUCUUCAUCACCCUCGUCAACAAUUAACUUUCUUUUCCGAUUUGACAUAUCAGAAUCCCAAAAGAAAAACAAAGAAAAGAAAGUUUAGGGUUGACAAGGUUUGACUAUCAAUUUCUACUCUUGACUCAUUUCACUCACAAGACCAGAAACUGGGGGACUGGUGUUAAGCGAAUAAAAGCACCAGGUCGGCCAUACUAUUAUUGCCACCCCGGCAUGGAUCACCUCAGCCCUGUGGUACGAGCAGAGCACAGGGGCACACACCAACUAGAUGUUCAUAUCGAACCGAUAUACAUUCCCCAGAAAAGCGGGAACACGAUCCCACAGAAUCACGGCAGUUGUGCUUUGCCCAGAACCGUUGAAGGGCACGGGAGAUCCCACGUUUGCCACAAUGCAACAAUCAGAGCCCCAUGAGGGGCGGCCACCACCCGAAAAAGGGGGGAUAGAGGGUAAGCGGAAAACGUGGGACAAACAGCGGCUAUAAAAGAAGAGGAAAUCGAUGAAGAAAAGGACACUGAAAAAUUGAGAGGGGAAAAUGCUGCCAAAUUACAACCAGACCAUUUUCUUACAAAUUUCGAACAAACUUCUUGAAUCCAAAUUACAUUGUUUUCCCGUAAACACCUUGUACUAACUUAGGCAUUGGAGGGUUUACGCCGGCAAAACCACCGGCGUCUCUUAUCCGUUUUUACUGAACGCAGGUCUAGUGAGAGAAAUGAGGGUGAUUCCAGCCUUAGCGGUUCGUGCAACAGUCGAUAUCUUAAACGUUGGUGAAAGAAUCUGGUCGGUCCAAGGACGAGCAGAUUUCGACAUCAACAAUGGCAACUCCACAAUGAUGAUAAUGAUAAUUUUGUGAUUCAGACACGUUGUUAGGAAUUCUGUAUUGGUUUUUCUCUCGCCUUCGAUGUCUACGAUGAAGCAUAUUAUGGCUUUUAAUCUGCAACUGCUGCAAAAUGGACUCACUAGCUAGCAAAUAAUAAUAUAUAGUGCUGUCAAAUUUAUAAAGAUUAUAUAUACACACACUUUCGUGUUCAAUGCACCGACACUAGAUGUAUAUUGGCAUUUAGAAAAAUUGGCAAUAACUAAUGACUUUCAAGAUUAAUUAAAUGACAAUAUUCAGUCUAUCAUAAAACAAGUUUUCAACAAGUGAAGAGGAGGUACUCUUUAUAAUUGGAUAAUUAAUGCAACCUUCAAUAUUUUCAACCAAAAAAAAAAUGAUAUUUGAUAUGUAUUCAACAUUAGGGAAAAACCUCCCAUAUCGAAGGUUUGCUUAAACGAUCAAAUAAAUCCACUUAGUUUCGUAAAUGGUUGUACAUAUCCUCUUUUUGACUAUUUAUUGGGUUAUGUUUGAGAGUUAGGACUAAGUGUGGGAUUAUACUAACUUUGAGAUUAAAUAUUAUUCUAUAUUUAGCAAUUUUCCUUAGAUUGGAUUAUGAGAGACUAAAUUCUAAGUUAGUUGUUAAAUAAAGGGGAUUGGCAAUACCAAUUUAUAAAUAGAUUUAAAUGGGAUUAGAAUAAGAGGAUAAAAUGUUCAUUUGUAAUAUUUCUUUCAUAUAUAACACCAUCUUUUAUUUAUUACUUCAAAUUUAAUUAAUGAAUUAAUUAUUUUAUUCAUGAUUUACUUGAAAUAUAUUUUUUAUUUUGUUUUUAUAUUCUAAUUAAAUUGGUACUUUAAUUUAAUAAUUUUUUACAUUAAUUGAUUGUACUAAAUUUAAUAAUCACCAAUGUGAUAUUAAAAUAUAAUUAUGAAAAUUAAUAAUACUAGUAAUUAAUUGAUUUUAUAUAUUAUUUGCUAAUUUUUUGAUAAAAUAAAAUAUAUAUCUAAAAUAUCUAAAUAAUCAAAAAGUUUUAUUAAUUUAUAUUUUUUAUUACAAUUAUGACUACCCAUAAGUAAUUUACUGUAUAUUUAAUGUUCUUAUUAAUUAUAUUUAAAUUAAUCUUAAUUAUUAUUCUUAAAUAUUCAUAAAUAGUUUUUUAUUUAAAUAUAAUUUAAUAUUGUCUAAUCCAAUGUUGUACUAAACAUAAGACAGUAGUGUAUAAUCCAACAUAACACUUAGUCCAAUUUAGUCUUGCAUGCCAAAUGUAAUCUUAUACACUUUGAUUACAACAAGCCAAUAAUUGACUUAAAUAAACUUCUAUAAAAUUAUAAGUUAAAAUUAAAAUAGUAUGAUAUAUAAAAUAAGAUAAAAUUUAUAAAUUAUUUUGAAUAUUAGAAAAAUGAUUUUAACAUUAUUAAUUUGUCAUAUUCUUUUACUACUAAUAAAAUUUGUUUGACAAAUUAAUAAUAUUAAAAUAAUUAUACCUAACAUUCACAAUAAUUUAUAAAAUUUAUAUAUUUUGUUAGCAAUUUUUUUAAUUAUGUCUAUAUUAAUAUAAAUCUUAAAGUCAAUUUUUGGAUUAAUAGAUUUUAGUAUAUAUAAUAAUAACUUAAUAUUAAAAAUAAUUUUCAUUACAUACGUUAUUCUAUUAAUUAUCUUAUUGUAAUAUUUUAUUUGUAUCAUAUGAUAUUUAUUAAUUAUUUUUUUAUCUUAUUAGUAUAUUUAUAUUUAUUUGUGUUGUUGUAAUCAAAGGGUAUAGUAACUAAAAAUGUGUUUAUGUGACUAUUUAACCUAAAGGGUCUUUGUGACCAUUUAAGUAAACCUUGGAAAUGUGUGACAAUAGUCAUUCUAAUGACUUUCAAGAUUGAAAGUGAGUCGGAUUAUCAAAUUAUGAAGCAUUAAUACGUAAUGUUUUAUGGUUAUUUUAAGGUUGAAGCUGGUUUAUUCAUUAAACAAGCUUUUAACAAGAGGAGAAAGUUCCCUUUAAAAUUUAAUAAUUAAUACAACCUUCAAUAACAAAAAAGUCAUAUAAUAAGGAUGAUGAUUCUUGUUCACUUGGAUACAUAUAUAUAACCUAUGAUGUGGUAAGCAAGGUAUCAAUUAUGUAUUUCUUGUAUCUGAAAAAAUGAAUAAUCCUUUAACGAAGGUUAUCAUCAAUUGCAGGUUUCUAGUUUGGCUGCUUAGUUUUAGGACUACGAAUUUUACAAUAUCAUAAUUAAAGGAAAGAAUAUAUGCGGUAGUCUUUGCCUGAUCUACUUUCUUCUUCUUAAUUAACCACUUAAAAGGAAAGAAUAUUGUAUACGCAGCGCACUAUAAUACUCUAAUUACCAAUUCUUUAUCUUAUAAUAUAAGUUCAUAGUGAUUAAUUUGCCCUUCUCCAGCAAAAAAACAAAUCCCAUUUCAGCACAUCUACAAGAGCCCUCAUUUCUCUUUGCUCCAGCCAAUUGAUAGCAGAAUCAUCACAGACACCUUGAGCUCCGUCAAUCAUCAUAGACAAUUGGUGACUAGUGGGAGCAUUACAAGGAAGGUACGACGAGUACAAACUGAUAGAUUUGUUUAUAUGAUUCGGCUGUAGUUUUUAUAUAUGGUUAAAUUAUGACAAUAAUCAAGAGAUAAUCAUGUACCUCAUUAGUUUCAUAAAUGUACAUACUAAUUUAUUCCCCUGCUUGCCAGAAUCAAACAUGUAGAAUAAGAUAAAUUUUAAGAUUUAAACUUUUCAAUUCAUUAAAAAUCUAGUGGGAUAUUAAUCGGUAAAACCACUUCGGGGUAGUACAAGAGGUUUGUGGUGCUAACCAAUUUAUGUGAGUGGAGAAAGAAUUAGGCUUUUUUAAUAAAAAUUAAUAAUCAUAAUAAUAAAAGGACAUAAAUUUCAAGAUUUAAAACUUUAGACUUCAUUAGAAGUAAGAGGGGGAUCGUAAAAAAUUUGAAUGUAACUUAUCGAUCGUGGAAUGGAUUUUUUUUUUUUUUUUGUUGCAGCUAUUUACACACCUUUGAACACAUGUUAGGGUGAGGGUAUUUCAAUAUUUUACCCACAUCUCAAUAAAAUAUUUUGAGGUGAUGCUACCACUAAACAACUCAUUAAACUCAUUUACUUAAUACACACACUUCUAAAAUUUAAAAUGCACAAUUUUAUUUUACAAACCCAUUAAUACCUAAAAUACCCUUAUUAAGUUAAAUUAUCACAAUUUCUCUUAUCAUUUUCUUUUCCCAUCAUUUCUCCGUUUCUUCACUCUUUUCUUCUUCAUUUUUGGAGCUUUACCCAUAGCUUUUUUAUUCCAAAUUCUCAAACUUUUUAUUUUAUUUUUUAAUAGCUAUUUUUCCCGUUGAUAUUUCAUGCGUUUAUAUGAUUCAGCUAUAGUUUUAACUUUUAUAUAUGGUCAAGUUAUAACAGUAAUCAAGAGAUAAUCAUGUUCAUCAUAAGUUGCAUAAAUGUACAUACUAAUUUAUUCCUCUACUUGCCAGAACCAUACAUAUAAAAUGAGAUACAUUUUAAGGUUUAAUCUUAGGGUUGGCAAUAAGCUCCGGAUCCAGCCCAGAUCCGCAACAAUCCGGAAGAUCCGGAUCUGGAAAAAUACGGAUCCGCAUGCUAAAAAAUGCGAAUCCAGAUCUUAAAAAUCACAAUCCGUGCGGAUCCGGAUGUAAGUGCAUCCGGAAAACCGAAUAUCUGGAUCCACAAUUUUUUAUAAUUAAAUUAUUUAUUUAAUUAAAUUUCAAUUGAAAAAUAGAUAAAUUAAAUUAUUUAUUUAAAUGUAUAAGCAUAAUUAACUCUCUAGUCUUCAUUAACUUUAAAAAAUAUGUUAAUAAACUAAUAAUAAUUAUAAUAAUUAGAGAAUAUUGUAAUAAAUCGGUUUACCUUACAUUUUUUUUAUGCUUGAUUUAUAUUGUGAAAUUAUUAUUUGUGAAUUUAUGGUGUUGUUGUAUGUUAUUUAUGUUGAAUUGAAGUUAAAUUGUUGAUUCUUAAAUUAUAAUUGAAUUUUAUUUAAUAUUAUUAUGUAAAUUAUUAAAUAAAAUUAUAUUUAAAUUUAUUAUUAUGCAUAUCCGAAUAUCCGGAAUAUCCGUCCGCAAUUUGUGCGGAUGUUAUCCGCAUCCGGAUUCUUAUUUUUUUUUGCGGAUCCGGAUGUCAAAAGUUUAAUCCGGAUCCAGAUGCACUAAGAUCCGGAUCCAGAUCCAAAUUUUGCCAUCCCUAGUUUAAAACUUUGCAAUUCGUUAAAAAUCUUGCGGGAUAUUAACCGAUAAAACCACUUAGGGAUAGUACAAGAGGUUUAUGAUUUCUCAACCCAUUUAUGUGGGUGGAGAGAGAAUCAAGUGUUUUUUUAAAUAAAGAAUAAUUAAUAAUUAAUAAUCAAAUUAAUAAAAAUAAAUAAAUUGUAAGGGGGAUCGUAAAAGUUUUGUAUGUAACAUAUCGGUAGUGGAAAGAAUUUUUUUUGGAGAGGCUAUUUGGCUUGGAACAUAUAUUACAAUACUCUCUUCAUCCACUUCUCAAUAAAAUAUUUUAUUAAAAAAAUUUCCUUAAUUGAAUUAUUGUUUUAGCCAUAUAUUAUGUUCGUUUAUCUCCCUAAAGUUUUUAUUCUUUCACCCUUUUUUCUCUUUUCCUCUGUGUCUCCCCAAUUUUUUUCCAGUCCUAUGGGGUUCUUAUUAAAGCUUCUAUUGAGUAAAAUCUAUAUUAAAAUUUCUUAUAAAAAAAAAAGAAAAAAAGAAUUCGUCUCUUUUAAAAAUUGUCUUUCCUUCCUUUACCCUUGAGUUACUAUUAGAUGUAUAAGCUCAAGAUGAGACUAGUAAUUGGAUUUCCAUUAAAAGUUUUAAUUUCAAAAAAUCAAAAGAUCACCAUACAAAUAUCAAAAGGUCACUAACUUAAUUAUACUGGUAAUAAUUAAGAUAAAUAAAAGACCUACUAUUUCUGUUUGAUGUUAUUAUGAUAAAGAAAGAAAAAAAAGAAAUAGCAAGUUGCUGUAGUUGCAACAAUUGAGGAUAUGCUAAUAAAAGUGUUACAGAGAUAGAUUUAAUUGAUAAAAAUAAGAUUUUAAUAAAAAGUUUUGAGAGAAACAAUUAAUAAAAACUAAUGAUAUUUAUUAAGGGUAUAUUAUGAAUAUUUGUGGCCUUUUUUGAGAUAAUUAAAUAAAUUUUAAGUUGUGAUAAUGUGUUUAUUACAUAAGUGGAUUUAUUCAGUAUUCUAGUGGAUUUAAGUAGUCUCAACUCUCAUAUUAUAAUAAAUUUUUAUAUUGCUACAAUUGCCCUAAUAUAGUGGACAGUAUUAUAUUGUACACAUAAGAAUACUCUAGCACCCAAUUAAAAUUUUUAGUAAAACAUAUAAGAACUCUAAAUGUAAAGAGAAUUCCGUCAAGGUAUUGCAGUAGUAUUUAAUGCUCUUGGCUAGUGUAAACUAUUGUGCCACAUGUAGUAUUUCGAUCCUGACAAGUGCAUUACAAAUAAUGACUCUUAUUUCAGGUCUUUUAGGUACUUUAGAGAUAUAUUAGCUAUGGAGCUAGUAUUAGGUCAUCACGUGCUUCUUUUAAUGAAAGAUGUGGUUCAUUUUUCCCUAUACCAAAGCAUUUUCUGUGGAAUAAUCGUGUCAAAUGCUCAUUUAUCAAGGGCACGUGUGGUGUUGUCAGUAUGAUAUGCUAACCCACGUGCACUUAUGGAAAAUCAAAUGAGAAAAAUGAAUUAAAAAAUACAAAAGCUAAUUAAUAAUGUUCGAGUUUGAGAUGAAGAAUAUUUAAUUUUAUGGAUAUAAAGAUAAGAAAUAUUUAAUGAGAACUAUCCUAAUAUUAAAAUACUAUUUCAAAUAAAUUUUAUUUGACGUAAUAGUAUGUCUCAUAAUAAGACUCAUCGAUGUCAGAAUCGUACAUGUAAAAUGAGAUAAAUUUUAAGGUUUAAAACUUUGCAAUUCAUUAAAAAAUCUAGUGCGAUUUUAAUUGGUAAAACCUCUUAGGGGUAGUACAAGAGGUUUAUAAUUCCCUAAUCCAUUUAUGUGGGUGGAGAGGGAAUUAAGAGUUUUUUAAUAAAGAAUUAAUAAAAAUUAAUAAUCAUGUUAAUAACUUAUUGGUAGUAGAAUGGAAUUUUAUUUGGAGAGGCAAUUUGGCUCAGAACAUAUAUUAAAAUGAGGAUAUUUGAACCCACCACAAUACUCUCUACAUCCACUUUUCAAUAAAAAAUUUAUUACAAAAUUUUCCUUAAUUAAAUUAUUAUUUUAGCCAAAUAUUACGUUCAUUUAUGUCCCUAAAGUUUUUAAUUUUUAACCCUUUUUUCUCUUUUCCUGUUUGUCUCCCCAAUUUGUUUCUAGUCCUAUGUGGUUCUUAUAUUUUAAAGCUUCUAGGAGUAAAAUCUCUACUAAAAUUGAUUAUCAAAAAAAAAAAUCUCUUUUAAAAUCUGCCUUUUCUUUAUCCCCAAGUUACUAUUAGAUGUAUAUGUUCACCGUGAAAGUUUAGAUCUCAAACCUUUUCUGUAUCUUAAAUGGAUUGUCGUGGAUAUGCCUAAGAUGAGCAUUUUCUUCCUCUUCACUUCAUCAUCUUUGAUAUAGUAAUUAUAAUUGAUUGAGGAGUGUUAAAACGCAUUGUGAUGAAUGAAUGCACAAGCUAUGUGAUUAAGACUGCAUUUAUCAGCUGGUGGGCGACCGCAAAUAUUAGGCAGGUUAUUCACAAUAGUGCUACUGAAGCUUUAUAUGGAAUAAGGAGACCAAGCCUCUAUAUGAUAAGAGUUGUAUGAAUACCAAAUGAAUUGUAAGAGGAUAUGGUUAAUUUAGAUUGCAAUUUAAGAAAGCUUGAAUUCUAAGAGCACAGAAAUGGGAUCAGUCUUGCUCAAGUGUAAACUCCGUCAGUUAGGAAGCUGUCCAUCAAAUGUAAAUAUUUAUGUGAUUGAGAGAAAUUUUGGACUUUUGUUGAAAACAAAAAUGCUGUUUGCAUUUGCUUGCCCCCAAGGAUAUAUGUUGUGCAAGCAUAUAUGUUGAGACCGGCAGAUGAAAUCACUAAACUUUUACAGUUGAUCUGAGGCUCCUCUAAAGAAGGAUUUGGAUUUUGGAAUUAAUUUGGGGAAAGGGUUUUUUUUGGGUAUAUGAGUGUAAGCGUUCCUUCAAUCACGUAGCUUUGUGCCAUUAACAUAAUGGCAAUUCCACAAUGGGGAUAAUGAUAAUUUUGUGAUUGGGAACUCUUUACUGGUUUUUCUUUCGCCAUCUGUGUCUAUGAUUAAGGUUGUUUAAAGUGUUAUGGCUUUUAAUCUAUAACCAUUGUGAAAUGGACUCACUAGCUGGCAAAUAAUAAAACAUAGUGCUGUCAAAUUUUGUAAGGAUUAUGCAUACACACUCUUUCGUCUUCAAUGCCCUAAAACUGGGUAACUACAUGUAUGAUUUUCAUUCAGAAAAACUGGCAAGAACUAAUGACUUUGCAGAUUAAAAAAUAAGUAGGAUUAUCAGAUUAUGUAGCAUUGUUAUGUAAUGUCUUGUGGUUUUUUUAAGGUUAAAGUUGGUUUGGAAAUUAAUUAAAAGACGAUAUUCAUUCUAUCAUGACGAGUUUUUAACAAGAGGAGAAGGUUCCUUUUAUAAUUUACUAAUUUAUACAGCCUUUAAUAUUAAAACAAAAUUUUAUAUAUUAAGGACGAUGAUUCUUGCUCACUUAGUAAGAUAUGUACAUAACAUAGGUUUGUUAAGCAAGGAAUCAAUUAUGUAUUUCUUGUAUCUGAAAAAAUGAAUCAUCCUUUAACGAGGGUUAUCAUCAAUUGCAGGUUUCUAGUUUGGUUGCUUGGUUUGAGGACUAUGAAUAUUACAUUGUCAUAACUAAAGGAAAGAAUAUAUGCCAUGGCCUUUGGCUGGUCUACUUUUUUCUUUUCAAUUAACCUCUUGCGGGGAAAGAAUAUUGUAUAACACAGCACACUAUAAUUACCAAUUCUUUAUCUUAUAAUAUAAGUUCAUAGUGAUUAAUUUGUCCGUCUUCAGCCAAAAAAAAAAAAAGUCCCAUUUCAGCACAAAUACAAAAGCUCUCAUUUUUCUUUGCUCCGGCCAUUUUAUAGCGGUGUCAUCACAGACACCUCAAGCUCUGCCGAAUCAUCAUAGACAAUUCGUGAUUGGUGGGAGCAAAUUGAAAGUGUUUAUAAAUAUAACUUAACAAUUCACUAGAUAGCUUGGAUUCAAAAUUAGAAAUAUCAAUCAAUAAAAUAGGAAGAAAAAAUAUUGGAGGUAAUUGGAAUUAGUCUCAAAUUUCAAUUAAAAAAAGCGUGCAGUUUCAUAUAUUAAUUCACUGAACCAUUUUUUUAUUUUUAUUUUUUUUUGCUGGAAAAACGAGUUUCCCAGAUCUGUCCAUUGUCAAAAUCAACUGAUGAACCACCACACUUCGUCGCAUCGCCAUUCACCAACAGCCCCAACUUUUGAGUCUCGUACCCUUGUUAAACAAAUACACAAUAAAACAGUGAGAUAACAAAUUAUAUGUUAGCUAAUUUAAACAAUAGUGUAAACUAGGAAUCGGAAACACUAAAUGAAGAACAGAAGAGGCAGAAACUGAAUCGAAAUAAAAAAAAUUGAAACCCGAGGCCUGCACAAACACAGUCUCCUUAAAACAGAUUUACCACCUUUACGGAGUGCUUAAGGUUUGCUAGGUAUAUGUUUCCCAGGAUGCAACGGGUACGAUUUUCCAGUCAAGCACAGGCUGGAAAUUCCGACGAACCACAACCAGCGAACUCGAUCAAAGAAAAACGAAGAAGGAUGAAGGGAAAACAAGUGUGGUUUGUGCUCGUUUUUGCAAGUAGAAAAAACAGAAGUGAAGGUGCCUUUUUAUACUCAAGGGAGGAUGUAACAGCUUUUGUAUUGAAUUUUCGAAUUCAAUACAUUUUAAUUAUUUUGUUAUAACAGCCAAAUCAAUUUAAUAAAUUGAUUUCAAAAUUGAAUUCAAACAAAACGUGAAUAACAGCUAAAUAAUUGUAAAAGCUGUUACCAAUGCUUUGAAUUCACAUGAACUGUUACAAUAAAAAAUUCAAAAGGAAUUAAAAACGUGCCUAGCUUGCAUGGAUGAUUUUGGGCUGACAUUCGUGUACGCAGGACGCGCACGAGUUCAACUAAAUCGGGCUUGGAUUCGCACCCCCCCCUGCGCACGCGCGUGUGGAGAGAGCCUCUAUCCUCAUAAUUCUUACUCAUGCAUGGUUAAGUGUUUAUAUUUAAACACUAAUUCCUAGGCUUCUUUUUCCCAUGUGGGAUAAGACUCAUUUCCUUUUAAAUUUCCAACUUCAAGGGUGAACUUUGAGAGACAAUUUCUCAUUCACCCAAGCACCAUUUUGAGAAAAUAAAAUUAUACUAUUGAAGUAUUAACGGAGUAGAAUCCGAACCUCACAAUAUUUUCCACUUUCGUUAAGUGGGACCCACUCAAAAUGUGCUCUCAAAAUAGCAUGUUAUGCUAUUUUUCCAACAACCCUUACUUCAAUAAUCCAGACCCAAGAUGUCAUCAAUACCCAAACCCUCAAUUUCAUCUUCUUCUUCUUUUUUUAAUUGACCCAAGAUCUGCCAAAUAUUAUGUUAAUUAAUCUCCCUAAGGCUUUUAUUUUUUUCACCCUUUUUUCUCUUUUCCUCUCCGUCUCCCCAAUUUUUUUUCUAGUCCUGUGUGGUUCUUAUACUUUAAGGUUUCUAUUGGAGUAAAAUCUCUAUUCAAAUUGCUUAUCCAAUUUUUUUUUUCUUUUAAAAUUUGCCUUUCCUUUACCCUCGAGUCACUAUUAGAUGCAUAUGCUUGUGAUGAAACUUUAGUAAUUGGAUUUCUAUUAAAUAUUUUAAUUUAAAAAAAUGAGAAGAUCACUAUAAAAAUAUCAAAAGAUCACCAACUUAAUUAUAGCAAUAAUCAAGGGAAUUAAAAGACUUACUAUUUCUGUUUGAACUUAUUAUUAUAAAGAAAGAAAGGGAAAAAAAAAGUCGCUGCAACUACAUCAAUUGAGGACAUGCUAUGAAAAGUAUCAUAGAAAGUAGUGAGAGAAACAACUAAUGAAAAUUAAUGAUACUUAUUGAGGGUAUAUUGGGAAUGUUUGUGGGUUUUUUGAAUGAAAAAAUAAAAUUUUAAGUUGUGAUAAUGUGUUUAUUAUAUAAAUGGGUUUAUUCAGCAUUACAAUGGGUUUAAAUGGCUUUAUCCUUCAUAUUAUAAUAAAUUUUUAUAUUACUAUAAUAGCCGUAAUAUAGAGGACAAUGUAAUGAAAAUAUUGUUACUGUUAUACUUAUUAAAGAAACAAUAUUAUCUUGUACAGACAAGAACACUCCAGUGCUCAAGUGUAAAAGUUUUAGUAAAACGUAUAAGAACUCUUAAGUGUAAACAAAAUUUCAUCAAGGUGCUGUAAUAUAAUCUAAUGCUUUUUGGUAGUGUAAACUAUGUGUGCCACGUGUAGUAUUUCAAUCUUCACAAGUGGCAUUGUAAAUAAUGGCUCUUAUUUCAGUUCCUCGUAGGCACUCUAGUAUUUGGUCAUCACGUGCUUCUUUUAAUGAAACAUCUGGUUCAUUUUAUCCUUAUAUGAGAGCAUUUUGUGCGGAAUAACCAUGUCAAAUGCUCAUUUAUCAAGGACACGUGUUGUGUUCUCAGAACAUAGUAAAAAUAUGAUACGCUAACCCAUGUACAUUUAUGGAAAAUCAAAUGAAAACAAAGAACUAAAAAAAAGUACAACGGCUAAUUAAUAAUGUUUGAGUUUGAGAUGAUUAAUAUUUAAUUUUAUGGUUGUAAAGAUAAGAAUAAAAGUACGGCUAGUGAGGACUAUCCUCAUAUUAUAACACUAUUUAAAAUAAAUUUUGUUAUAAAAAAUUUUAUUCAAUUAGGUAUAUAUUUUAGGUACAAACUCAGCUAUUUGACAUAAUAGUAUGUCUCAUAAUAGGACUAACAUUUGGUCAAAUCAACCUAUUUCAAUAAGAUCCAUCGAAAUUAAUAUUUAAAAGAUUUAUCAUCUCAUUAUACAAUACACAACUUUGCCAUCUAGUAGAGAAUGAUUGGUUGGCACACCAUAGUUUACAUAAAUAUUUCUAAUAUUUGAAUCAUUUGUUAGGAAAUUUUAAUCCUACCAAUAUCUUGUAAGUAAACAUAUCAAAUAAAUAGUAAAUAGAUAAUAUAUAGAGAAUAAAACCAAUCAUACAACACAAUAAUUUACCCGAGAAAAAUUCCUACACUAGAGAAAAACCACGGCCGCCAAAGAUGACGAAAGAAAAUCCACUAUGUAAAGAUCAUUACAAUCACUCUAGUAUUUUCUUCACUUACAAAACCCCAAUAACAAAUAAUCUCUCAUUCUAGAAACUGUCUACUUGUAUAGAACUAAUUAUUGCAAACAAGUGAAUCUAACCUUCUUAUAUAUUGUGAUUGUUUCAUAUAAGAGAAAUAUUUAUUUCCUUAUAUAAUUUGUAUUCCUCCUUUAAUAAAUUCUUUGGAAUUACUUAUUCCUUAAACAUGAACCCCCCAAACAAAAAAAUUACUAGGAAAUAUUUUAAUUUAGGAUUUACAAAUCCUCAUUGAAAAAGGAGAUAUGUUACUUCAAAAUCUCCACUUUGGCGAGUUUUUUAAUUAAACGACAAAAUAUGAUCCGCCAUACAUCUAUGCAACCAUGUCGUCUCCACCUUUUUUAGUAUACUAAAACCACACUGACAUUGGACUAAUGAGAAUCACUCCACCAUGAGUAAAAUCUUGUCCUCUAUCCAGCAACCAUAAUUUUCUACAUCGAGAAUCAUCAUACUUCACAUUAUCCAGAGUACACAUGUUUGGCAUAUGUCGAUCACAUUUCCGAAGUUACCCACUCUCAUGUUUGGCUUCUUUGAGAGUCCUCAACGAUCAAGAUAAAAAGUCCACCACAUACCUUGCAUAAAUACUAAACUACAUGUUGUGUGCACAUCUUGUGGACCCAUUAGCAAUAACACAUCCUCUUCCACGACACACCAAUAGAUGAGAUAAUUAGUAUCUCCUUCUAUUAAUUUACAGCUACUUUCCAAAUUUGCUAUAUUCUAACAAUCUCUUUUAAGAUGUUUUGAUUACCUACACUCCUCCAGGGGUUUCUACUAGUGGAAUAGGCCUGACAUUGCUCUUUGCUUUACUUGUAUAGACAGAUUGAAUCAGUAUGUUAUUGACUUGAGCUUCCCAAAAGCCAAAAUUAAUUAUUCCGUCAAAUUUUUCUAUUUCUAUCUUCAUAAGUUUUGAAAACCUCCUUGCUGACGUAUUUGCUCUACAUUGCAGCCUUAGCUCUAUUAUCACCUGCUAAGAAAUAAUUAAUCUCACCUAAGAUUUGCAAGAAAAAAUAUGAAAUAAAUAGUAAAUAGAAAAUAGGUGGAGAAUAAAGCUAAUAAAAUAAUACAAAAAUUUACAUGAAAAAUUUCUAUAUUGGAGAAAAAUUAUAAUAGCUAAGGACGAUAAGAGAAAAAUUUAUUAUGUAAAAAUUAUUAUAAUUACUCUAGGGUUUUUCUCACACCUAAAACACCAAAAGCACCUAAUUUUAAUAGAACUACUUUUCUCUCACACUGAAAACUAUUUACUUAUAGAUAACUGAUUGUUGAAUUAUGCAGAGAAGUAAACUCAAUCUCUAUAUAUAUAUGUAGUGAUUAUUUCAUAUAGAAGUUGCAUUCUUUUCCUUAUAUGAUUUGUAUUCCUCCUUGAAUAAGUUAAGUUCUAAAGAGAAAAUUACUUAUUUCUUAAAUAUGAAUUAUCUUCAAUAAGAAAACUGAAAAGUGUAGAAAAUUCCUAAUUUAAGACUUAAAAAUCUUAUUUGAAAAAAGAGACAUCUCCCAAUAUCUUCAAAUCCUCCUUACAAUGCCACCAAUCUCUUUUGUGACUAGCCCAGUUGAAACUUUUAAUGGAUGGGCUGUAAUUGCGAAUAUCCAAAUAAAACAAAUUUCCAUAGGUAUAUUGGUAGAUUGAAUGACAACUAACAACACAUGAUUUGAUUAACUUACUUCCAAAAAAAAAGAAAAAAAAGAUACAAUGGAUGAACAUUAGACUCUUGUGCCAACUCAUGGAAUUCAUCAAUAAGGCCUUGGCUGAUCCACCUCAUGACUAGUAGAGUUCAAACCCCCGCUAAAUAGUAAAAAAAUAUUUGGAUUAUUAAUUACUCUUUCUUAAGUCUAUUUAAACUUAACUUUGAGAAUUAUGAACGUCUACACUAUAAUUAAAACAAUACAAGCCCACCCGUUUGUAUUUAAAAUUUUGUUUGAAUUUAUUCACGAGCAACAAGAAUAGUAUAAAUGGAAAAAAAAACCAUCAAAUAAUAUCCCAUGACUCUGUUUCUUCAAUUUCAGGAACAAUGGUGGAAUCAUAUUUUCCGAUUGAAAAACUUUUGGAAAAAUUAGGGAGCUUUGCUUAUGAAGAACUUUUAUUGUUCUGCGGUGUCAAAAAUGACUUACAAAAGUUAAAGGAGACGUUAACCACUGUCAAAAGUGUGGUUUUGGAUGCUGAGGAAAAGCAAAUCCAUAAUCACCGGUUAAGCGAUUGGCUGGGAAAACUUAAGGAUGCUUGUUAUGAUGCAGAAGAUGUGUUGGAUGAAUUUGAGGUGGAAGAUCUACGAAGGCAAGUCAUGAAGCAAAGAAGCAUCGGAAGAAAGUUUCGUAACUUUUUUGGAUGCUCAAAUCCGAUAGCUUUUCGUUUUAGAAUGGGUCAUCAAAUCAAGAAAAUUCGAGAGAGGUUUGAUGAGAUUGCAAAAUUGAGGGGUGAGUUUAAUCUCAUUGAACGACUUGACGAUCAUCGGCGAGUUGUGCACAAAGAAAGGGAAUCCACUCACUCCUUUGUGCUUUCAUCAGAUAUUAUUGGAAGAGAUAAAGAUAGAGAAAAGAUUAUUGAACUAUUGAUGCAAGCAAGUUCUGGCGAAAGUGAAACUCUGUCUGUUAUUCCUAUUGUGGGAAUUGGAGGUCUGGGCAAAACUGCUCUUGCACAGUUGGUGUUCAAUGACCAAAGGGUAGAAGAGCAUUUUGAGUUGAAAAUCUGGAUGCGUGUUUUUGAGGAUUUUGGUGGGAGACAAAUUAUGAGAGAGAUUAUGGAGUCGAUCAUUGUACAAAUUAUGAGAAAGUGUGUGUUCCUAGGUGACUUGAAUACACAACAAUUGCAACGAAUCUUGCGAGAUCAUUUGAAUAGUAAGAGAUGUUGGGAAAAUAUGCUCUUUAAAAGCAUAUGUGUUUAUUUGAAUGUAAUAAACUAUUUUUCUGAUCAAUAAAAUAAAUGAGGUAUUUUAUUCAAAUAUCUUGAUUGCAUUAAUAUUUGUAUUAAAGUGGGCACGAGGGGAGGUACUAUUGGCUACAACUUACAAGGUCUACCAUUCGAGGAUUGCUUGUCUUUGUUUAUGAAAUGUGCAUUUAAAGAAGAGCGAGAUAAACAUCCAAACCUCAUAAAAAUCGGGGAAGAAAUUGUGAAGAAAUGUGGGGGAAUUCCUCUGGCAGUCAGAGCACUAGGAAGUCUAUUAUGUGGCAAAACAGAUAAACGUAAUUGGGAAUAUGUGAGGGAUAUUGAGAUAUGGCAGUUAGAGCAAAUGGACACUGGCAUUUUACGUGCUCUGAGGUUAAGCUACGAUCAAUUGCCACCUCACCUGAAACAAUGUGUUGCUUAUUGUUCAAUCUUUCCGAAGGGUUAUCAAUUUUAUGGUGAUUCUUUGGUUCAAUUUUGGAUGGCUCAUGGUCUUCUCCAAUCGCAUAAUAAGAAAGAAGAGUUAGAUGAUAUUGGUAUGCGAUACUUGAAGGAAUUACUAUCAAGAUUUUUCUUCCAAGAUUUGAGUUUUGGGAUGUUAGGAAUGGAGACGUUCUCUUUCAAAAUGCACGACCUUAUGCAUGAUCUUUCCCUGCUAGUGGCUAAAGAUGAAUUCCUAGUAGUGAACUCUGAUUGUCAAUUUAUUCCCAAAAAAGUCCGCCAUUUGUCAUUUGUUGCUGCUAAUGCGUCAAGAAAUGACUUUUCAAGCCUUUUAUCUGAUCUAGGUCGUGUUAGAACCAUUUUCUUUUCAACUGAUGAUGAUGAGAAGACAAGCCAAUCAUUUAUUGAAUCAUGCAUCUCAAAGUCGCAGUUCCUAAGAGUGCUAGAUUUAAGUGGCUCUGCUAUUGAGGUUUGUCCAAGAGAGAUGGGUAAUUUGAAGCACACGAGAUAUCUUGAUCUGUCGAAAAAUUAUAAAAUCAAGAAACUUCCAAAAUCCAUUUGCGAGCUACAGAGUUUACAAACACUGAAUCUUGCUGGAUGUUUGGAGCUAGAAGAGUUGCCUAAAGACAUAAGGUACCUUGUCAAUCUCAGAUUGUUAGCGCUAACCACAAAACAGAAGUCUUUGCAAGAGAGUGGAAUAAGGAGCUUGGGUUCUCUUCGUUGUUUGUCAAUUUCUAGUUGCUGGAAUUUAGAACAUUUGUUCGAGGAGAUAGAUCAAUUAAGUGUCCUUCGAACAUUAUCAAUUGAAAGUUGUCCUCGUCUAAUCUCAUUGCCACCUGCUAUCAAAUAUCUUAGCUCAUUAGAGAAUCUGUAUUUGGCUAGCUGUGAAAGCCUUGAUCUUAAUUUGAACAUGGAAAUGGAAGGUGAAGGAAGUCAUCAUGAUCGCAAAAACACAAGGCCUCACAUUCGGCGGGUUUUCAUCAAGGAAAUAACACAGUUAUUAGAACUGCCACAAUGGCUUCUCCAAGGUUCUACUGAUACUUUACAGAACUUGUUAAUUCUUGGUUGUCCCAACUUCAUGGCACUACUAGAGUCACUGAGAAAUUUCGAAGCACUUGAGGUUCUUGUCAUCGGGAAUUGUCCAAAAUUGUCAUCGCUGCCAGAGGAUAUGCAUCACCUCACUACUCUGAAAUCAUUGGCCAUUGCAGGAUGUCCUGCACUGAGUGAACGAUGCAAACCGCCAACAGGUGAAGAUUGGCCCAAGAUUGCACAUAUCCCUGAGAUUUUACUUGAAGGCGAGAUGAUUAAAUCAAGUGAUUAUUAGGUAUGGAUUUUUUUUUCAAUAAGCAUACCACUCUGUUAUAUUUCCUCUUUUCAUGCAGCUUUCUAAUUUUUAAUUUCUCAUACGGCUACACCGUUUAUAGUUUAAUGUUUUGUUAUGUUUACCAAACGAAAACUUGACUUUGAACGUUAGUUAGUUCAAUCAAAUUUGUACUAAUUUAUUUUCUUCUAAUACAUAACUAGUUUGUCAGUACAAAACACAAAAAUAAUAUUUUGGAAACCGCACUGUUCUAGGGGUCAGAUCUGUUUCUAAAUUCAAACAGUUCAGGAUUUUUAAAAAUGGAACUUAUAAUGAGAUUUUUUUUUAAUUAUAUAGUUAUCUUCAUAUGGAAUUUCAAUCUUUGUUAAUACUUUAACUUGCGCGGAAACAUCUGACUAUUCUUCCUCUUAUCCUUUUUUUUCCCCAAAUAUUGCAGCUUUCUUGGGAGAGGUUCAACCAAACUGCAGGGACAGUGAAAAUAUUACUCUAACGUGUUUCAGAACAGAGCUUCAAAGGUUUUAAUGUUGUGUUUUAAAGUUACAAGUAUUAUAUAUUCGUUACGUGUGGUUAUGUAAUUUGCUGAUAAAUAAGUACAUUGAGUGAGGUAUAUGUGUGUGCCUGUGUGGUCAUUACUGAAUUUCUCAGUAAUAUAAUUUGCAUUGACUGCAGAUUUGUGAAGAACAUUGAUGUGUUGUGUAAUGGGAACGGUGGUGUCUGUAUUUUGUGCUCUGUGAUUGACGACUUACAUUUGCCCAGGAAGAAAUGAAAACAAAUCGGCUUCUUGAAAUUAACCAUUUAUUCUUUCGAAUG
RNAcentral lists this long non-coding RNA (48520 nucleotides) under Citrus x clementina. RNAcentral's name for it is "Citrus clementina (C. clementina) long non-coding RNA (CCLE_LNC000494)". Lineage: Eukaryota; Viridiplantae; Streptophyta; Magnoliopsida; Sapindales; Rutaceae. The record is from RNAcentral.